Molecule: long non-coding RNA, 46387 nt
Filed under: Vitis vinifera (wine grape)
Lineage: Eukaryota; Viridiplantae; Streptophyta; Magnoliopsida; Vitales; Vitaceae
Description: long non-coding RNA (VVIN_LNC003853)
Source: RNAcentral
AAGAAAAGUGUGAGGAUCCACCAUCUAUCAUGACUUUUCUACUUAUUUUUUUCAUUUCUUUCCUCUUCUUCCUCACUUCACUAUUAGUAUUCAUUAGGUUCCUUAAUCCAUUUUCAAUCUCAUGAGCACUUACAACAUAAUCACUAUCCUUAUUAUAAUCUAUUUUAAUUUCUACUGCCAAUCCCAAAUCUUGCACCAUUUGAAAUGCGUUGAUUUGUUGUUCUGCAUACAUUGACCAAGUGGCUACAGGAACACCAUACCAUAUGCUUUCUAGCAAAGAAUUCCAUCCACAAUGAGAUACAAAUCCUCCGACAGCUGAGUGGGCUAAAACUGCUAUCUGUGGAGCCCAUCCAAUCACCUUUCCAAUUCUAGCCGCCCGAUGUAAAAAUCCUUCUGGUAGAACUUCCUCAAUAUUUUCAUAGCCGCUUGAAAAUUCCAUUUUACCCUUUUGGGGAGGUUGGCGAAGGGACCACAAGAAGCGAUGCCCGCUGUGCUCUAACCCAUAUGCUAUCUCCUUGAUCUGAUCUGCACCAAAGCUUCCCCUGCUCCCGAAGCACAGGAAAAUCACAGACGAUGGAGGCUGAUCGUCAAGCCAACUCAUGGUGGCACUGGCAUCUUGUUGACCCCCACCAGAUCCCAUUCGGGUGUUGAGUAUGGGUCCAACGGGAUACACCUCGGGUACUGUACUGCCAGAAAGUGAUUGAAUAGCAUGUGAUUCAAGCUCAAUAAACGUAUUUACCAGAAUACCCUUGACUUCUCUGAAUCUCCUCGUGUGAUACAGAAGCAUCUCAGCCCCUCCGUUUUCCUUCUCAAACAUCCAAGCAGGGAAGACCUUACCCGGAACUGAGUUAACAAAAGUCAGAACACCCAACUCAGCAUCCGAGUCCUUGAACUCAUUAAUAUCCAAGCCCUCAUAAUCAUGGAGGAACUGAACAUGUAACAGGAAGCCAAGAAAAGCAGCGCCGGAAGGGAAGAACAGAUAGGAAGGCACCCCAAACUCAUCGGCCACGUCAAUCAUGUGGGUGCAAAACAUAUCAAUAACGAACCCAGAGAGCCGAACCGAGUUGGAGCGAGUGAGCUCGUGGACGGCGUCUCGGACGAGUGGUAUGUGAACUUUGAGGAAUUCAGAGAAGAAGUGACCAGACGGGGUCGUUUCGGAGCUGACCUCUACAGGAGGAAGUGUGACGAAACGUAUGGAAUCAGAGUCCGUGUCCAUACCAUCAGUGGACCCAAACGGAAACUUCAUGAUGAAAAUCGUGAUUGAGAAUCGGGGCUCUCGCUUAGUAAUCAGCUUUGCAAUCUCCAGUGCAGACGCAAGGUGGCCGAUGAUAGGAAAUGGUAUGAAGACCAGCUCAGUUUGCUCCAUCACUAACUAGCAGUUACUGCAAAGAGAGAAAAAAGGGAUGUUUCGAGGGCUUUGCGGUGGGGUCACACUCUUAUACUAGUGGCUGGAUAGUCAGGUCUUAGCUGGUUCAAUGUAUUUUCUUUAUUGUUUUAGAAUGAUUUGUGGUUGGCGUUGGUUGAAGAUUGAGGCAAAAUGGGUGGUUCCAAUAUGCUACACCUGUCACAUAAAGUUCUUCGAGAUAUUUGGGCCAAAAUUUGUAAAGCCAACCUCAAUUGGUUUAAAGUUCCGUAAAUAAAAAUUUCAAAGGAAUAAAAAUAUCUUAAUAUUUAAAAAAAAAAAUUGCUUUAGCAUAUAUGAAUGAUAUUUUUAAUAAAAAAAUAUUAUUAUUUUCGAUAUUUAAAAAAAAUAAAGAGAAUGAUUUGAAUUAGAGAUUUUUUUAAUCAUUUUAAUCAAAUAUCUCAAUUUUCCUUUUUGUUUUUAUAAUGGUUUUUCAUUAGACAAACAAAAUAAGUAAGAAAUAUUAUCUUGAUAUUAGAAACAUAUUACGGGGCAAUACUCACAAUUUUCUAUACAUAAAUAGGAUAUAUUAAAUUAAUCAAUUUUAAAUCUAUUCAAAUUGAUUCCAUUAUCGUAUAAGUUGAUUGUUGGGAUUUAAUUAUUACUUUUGAUCAACGAGAAAUUAUACAAGUCAUAAUUCCAAAGAUAUUCAAUCACAUAAGAAUAUAAAAAAAUAUUAAAAAAAAAACUCUUACAAAAAUUGUCUCCGCCAAUUUAGAUACAAAAACUUAAGCACAAUAUUAAAAAUCCACUAAAUAUAAAAGAAUGUACACAUUUUACCUAACACAAAUACUUCUUUUUAUAAAUGUUAUGUCAAUCAACACUUGUGCAUAUUCAUCAUAUCUACAAUGCAAUAUUUUCCCAUGCUCCUUAGUGGAUCAGCUCAAACCCAUAUUAUGGCUUUGGUGCUCAAAUUUCGAUCUUUGCUUUUCAUCCUAAUUGAAAGGACUCUCAAGAUUUACUUUUCAGUCUUGAUUUUGACUUUUUGAAGUAUAGGCACUAGGAAAAAUAACGGUUGUCUUGUGGAUUUUCUUAGGGUUUUUUUAUUUAUUUUUGUUCAAAUUGAUAAAUGAUAGUUUUUUCAUUCAUCUUUUCAUUCGUUCAUGUACAGAGUAUAUAUAGAGGGAAUCACCAUUCUAAGAAUGGGAAAGAAUGAUACAAGGAAAGAAUGACAUAAGGAAAUAACAAUUAAUAUCCUAAUAUCUCUUAAUAUUCAUAAUAUCUCAACUUUCCUAAUAUCUAAACAUUCCUAAUAUCUCAACACUAAAUGAUAUAAGAAAAUAAUGAUAUAAGGAAAGCAUUCCUAAUAUCUCAACACUCCCCCUCAAGUUGGUGCAUAGAUGUCACACAUGCCCAACUUGUCUAAAAAUUUUGAGAACACUUGACUUGAGACAGCUUUGGUAAGGAUAUCGGCCAAUUGAUCUUCUGAUCGAAUCUUAGGCAAUUCCACAAUCUUAUCAUCCAACUUUUCCUUAAUGAAGAAUCUAUCCACCUCGACAUGCUUUGUAUGAUCAUGUUGUACUGGAUUAUGAGCAAUGUCACACGUGGCUUUAUUGUCACAAAACAAUCGGAUUGGUUGCCUAGAUAGGUAACCUAAAUCCUGUAAGAGGAGUCUUAGCCAUAAUGCCUCACAAAGUCCUAGAGUCAUACCUCUAAAUUCCGCUUCUGCACUUGAACGAGCGAUGACAUUUUGCUUCUUACUUUUCCAUGUUACAAGAUUACCACCUACAAAGGUAAAGUAACCAGAUGUAGAUCGCCUAUCAUCCACUGCACCGGCCCAAUCAACAUCAGUAUAUACUUCUAUACUUUGAUGAUCAACAUUUUUAGCGAACAAAAUUCCCUUCCUAGGAGCAUUCUUCAAAUACCUCAAAAUACGCAUGACUGCAUUCAUAUGUUGCUCUCCAGGAUUAUGCAUGUAUUGACUCACUACACUCAAUGCAUAAGCAAGAUCUGGUCUUGUAUGAGCUAAGUACAUUAAUCUCCCCACAAGUCUCAGGUAUCUUCCCUUAUCAGUUGAUACUUGAUUAGGCUCAACAUACAAUUUCAGACCUUCUUCUAUUGGUGUAUUAACAGGUUGACAUCCCGACAUUCCAGUCUCCUGUAAAAGAUUUAAGGCAUACUUUCUUUGAGACAGAAAAAUUCCUUCACUUGAUCGAGAAACUUCAAUCCCAAGAAAGUAUUUUAGAGGACCUAGAUCUUUUAUUUCGAAUUCUCUAGAUAGAUAAUUUUGCAGAGCUUUUCUUUCUUCAGGAUCAUUUCCUGUAACUACCAUGUCAUCCACAUAUACGAUGAGUGUCGUAAUCUUACCAUGUUGCUUUUUCAGGAAUAAAGUGUGAUCUGAAUUACUUUGAUGAUAGCCAAAAGCUCUCAUUGACUUUGUGAACCUUCCAAACCAUGCUCUCGGGGAUUGCUUCAACCCAUACAAUGACUUCUUCAAUUUGCACACCUUCUGACAUUGCUUUUCUGACACCAUGCAUCCUGGUGGAAGAUCCAUAUAUACUUCUUCAGAUAACUCGCCAUGUAGAAAGGCAUUUUUCACAUCAAAUUGUUGUAAUGGCCAAUUUAGGUUUGCAGCUAAAGACAGUAAUACUCGAACUGUGUUAAUCUUAGGUACAGGUGCAAAUGCCUCUGUAUAGUCAAUACCAUCUGCCUUGUACUUUACAGUAUAGAUCCAACGACACCCAACUGGCUUCUUUCGUGGUGGACAUUCUACGAGUUCCCAUGUUUCAUUCUUCUGCAAUGAUUUCAUCUCUUCAUUCAUGGCUGCUUUCCACCUUGGAUCAGCUAAGGCUUCCUGCACACUGUUAGGAAUAGCUACAGUAGAUAAUUGAUUUACAAAUGACUUGUUUGAUUCAGACAAACGAUGGUUAGACACAUAGUUGCUCAUGGGAUACUUGACUUUAGUAGACAAUUCAGGUUCAUAUGUGGGUUUAGGAAUACCUCUAUUAUGACGGUGUGGUAUCCGUUUCAUGAAUGGAUCAGGUUUCAAAUUAAGAACACCCUCAACAGACGACGAUUGGUUUGGUAUUUCAGUGAAGACAUCUUCGGACCCAAAUUGUUGACCACUCACAUCUAACUCACCCACUUCCUAGUUCACUAGUUCAGAUUGUCUAGAUUCAUCUUCCUCAGAUAUCUGAUAAUCAUAAUCGAGAGUCUGAAUUUCCUUAUGGUACUCCCCCUGAAGUUCAGACUCAGAUGAAAAAUACAUCGAAUCUUCAUGAAACACCACAUCCAUUGUAAUAUACAUUUGUCGAGUUGGAGGAUGGUAACAUCGAUAUCCCUUUUUGUGCAAUGCAUAUCCAACAAACACACAUUGUAAUGCAUGAGAAGUUAGCUUGGUGCGUUGGUGCUUGUGUAGAUGCACAAAUGCCACACAACCAAAAACACGAGGAGGUAGAUUUGGGACGGUUGGGGCAACUACGACAUUAAUAAGAGCUUGGAGUGGUGUUUGAAAGUUAAUUGAGCUAGAAGGUACCCGAUUGAUCAAGUAUGCGGCAGAUGUGAUUGCUUCUCCCCAAUAAGAUAUCGGUGUUUUUGCUGCUAUCAAGGAAGCACGAACAACCUCUAACAAGUGCCGAUUUUUUCGUUCAGCGACUCCAUUUUGCUGGGGUGUAUUGGAACAAGUAGUUUGAUGAAUGAUGCCAUGUCCUUCCAAAUACUUUUGAAGAUCAUAACUUUGAUAUUCUCCACCAUUAUCACUACGCAGAACCCGAACCUUUGCAUUGUAUUGAGUUUCAAUCACUUUAUGAAAAUUUUGAAACAACAAGUUCACUUCAUCUUUGGUCUUCAUCAAGCAUAACCAUGUCAUUCUGGUACAAUCAUCAAUAAAAGUAACAAACCAACGUGAGCCACUCAAAGUUGGGACUUUGGAUGGGCCCCAAACAUCAGAAUGUAUAACCAUAAAAGGAAACAGACUUUUAUUUAAAAUUAACGGAAACGAAGCACGAUGGCUUUUAGCCAAUUCACAAAUAUCACAACGGAAACCAGAAAUAUCUCUCUUUGCAAACAAACUAGGAAACAAUUUUUUUAAAUAACCAAAGGAAGCAUGUCCCAAACGUCGAUGCCACAACCAAAUUUCAGAUUUUUUCUUCUCUCCCUCAGAUUCAUCUGCCAUCAAGGCUUGUUGCAACUUAUUUGAAUCCUUUGACUGCAAGUCCAAGUAAUAGAGUUUUCCCCGCUUAAUACCACAACCAAUCGCCUGUCUUGUUUGGAUGUCCUUAAUCACACAAAAUUCAGGCCAAAAAAUGACAAUACAAGAUAAGGCUGCAGUGAUUUGAGAAACUGACAAAAGAUUGUAAUCUAAAGAUGGAACAACUAAAAUAGAAUCCAAAUUCAAAGUAUCAGUAAGAGUUAAGGAUCCUUCCCCAAUGACUGGGGUUGUGUUACCAUUGGCUGUGGGAACAAUUUUUUUGUGAGGAAGGUCUAAGGGUUGAAACCUGUCUAGAUUCAAAAGUCAUAUGAUCUGUAGCACCAGAAUCAAUUAUCUAUGCACUAUUAAUAAUAGGUGUAAAAGUAUUUAAAAACUUACCACCAUGAUCUGUAGCGGCUACCAAUGCAGAGGCUUUCUCAGCAACAUUAGCCUCUGUUUUUAUUUCGGCAAUAGUUGCGGUCGAGGUUUUCUUGGAAUCCUUCUUCCGUUGAUCAUGAUUAUUAUCAUUAAUAACAAAGCGUUGAUAACCUAAACAUGAUUUAAAGGUCCAUGGUUCAAACCCUCGGUUCCUUAUUUUUUUCCUGAUCAUACCAAGAGUCGUUGCUUUGAAAUUGUGGGAUAUCCAGACUGGUGGGAUCAGUCUUAUUGCAGUGAGUGCAUUUGAAGGUUGACUUAUCAAUAUUAGGGCUUGUCUUAGGAUGGUUGAUCGCUGUCGGACUACCAUAGCGACAAAAUAUCCAGGAUUUCAGUUUCAUGGCUCUGAUACCAUGUUCAAAUUAAUAAAUGAUAGUUUUUUUCAUUCAUCUUUUCAUUCGUUCAUGUACAGAGUAUAUAUAGAGGGUAUCGUCAUUCUAAGAAUGGGAAAGAAUGAUACAAGGAAAGAAUGACAUAAGGAAAUAACAAUUAAUAUCCUAAUAUCUCAACUUUCCUAAUAUCUCAAUAUUCCUAAUAUCUCAAUAUUCAUAAUAUCUCAACUUUCCUAAUAUCUAAACAUUCCUAAUAUCUCAACACUAAAUGAUAUAAGGAAAUAAUGAUAUAAGGAAAGCAUUCCUAAUAUCUCAACAAUUUUAUACCCCAAAUUGAAAUUUUCAAAUCCUUUUCAUACCUAAACCUUGUUUUUUUUUUAGUUUUAUCUUAUUUUAAAACUUAAUCUAGAAAAAAAAAGAAUUUUAAAUCAUCAAUUUUCCCAAAAAGAAAAAAAAAAUCUAGACAAAAACACCUAAAAACUUAAGUUACCACUAAAUUAUUAAUUUUAUAACACCACUGUACCAUUUUUAAUUUCGAACUCAAAACAUAAUUAUAUUUUGAGCUUCAAAUUUUGUGUCUUUAACUUGAAUAUGUUAGUAUAAUACUCAUUGUAGGGAAAGUAGUCUUGAUUUAAUAAUCUUAGGAGUAAAAUUGUCACUCCAUUGUAAUACACUAACAAAGUUAAUACCAUAUAAAAAUAAAUUUAGAAACAUAUUUUAUAUAAAAAAAAAUAGUUCAAAUUUUGGAAAAGUCCAUAACACUAAAUUUAUAUGAUUAAAAUUCAAAUUUGGACCAUUUAAAUUGUCCAAUAAAAUUUUUGUAUUAAAUGAAAGGACAAAUAUAUGAAACUAGAUUACAAACAAAGGAGACCAAGGUAUUAAAUAAUGGGACCAAAGUAUAAAGCAAUAACAUUAAUAAGGUACAAUGCAAUGGGACCACAUUAGAGAUACAGAGUAAUGAUAUCAAAUUCUAGGUUGAAUAUUGACACAAAAGGUAGGUGUGUGGACCCUGUAUUUUUGCUCAAUGCUUUCCCACUCGAUGACGAAACUCAUUUAUUUAUUUAUUUGGUAAAAAUUUUAUUUUUUAAAAAAAGACCUGAAGUCACCACUUAUUUCUGUUUUAUUUUUAAAAGGAAAAACAAAAUAAGAAAGAAAAACCCUAAGUGUGACUCCUGAAGAAAAAACAGGUCAGUGAAAAACCGAGUUGGGUUCCGGGGGUCAGGUUACCUAUUAGGAAGGUACAGUGGUGAACCGUAACACCCCUCUAAGCCCUAUAAUAAGGUCUUUACUAAAUAAGGUGAAACAAGGAAAUCAAUGGAUACUAAUGAAAUGAUCAAAUAAUAAAACAAAUCGAGGAUGAGAAUAAGCAAAGUGAGAGUGAGAGCAUACCUUGACAACAAAUAAUAGUGCGCUAUCAUGAAAACAAGGUUAGCUCAAGUAUAAAAUUAUCACAUACAUAUCAAAAAGCAAGACAAAGAUCAAACGAUAUUCAUUAAGCAUAGCAAUUGACAAUCGGAAGAUAUCAUAUGUAGGGCCCCCACCAAAGCCCAAUUGAUUUUACAUGAAUUAAUCCCACAAAUUCCAGUGUUUCAUAAUUAUGAUAAUUAUCUUCAUGCUUAUUAAAAAUCAAGGAAAGCAUGAAAAUCAUUUUAAAAUCAAGGAAAAUUUGUGAAAGUGUUUACCUGAAAAUGUAGCAAGUUUAUUUAAAACGAGAUUUUUAGUGACUUAAAAUCCUAAUGAAUGAUGAAAAGUGGUAGAAUUAAAAAUAUAUAUUUGAAAAGUGGAGUGAAAUUAAAAUUAUUUAAAAAUUUGAAAUUUGAAAAUUGAAGUCUCAAAAAUUAUUUGAAAAUUGGAGUUUUGAAAAUUAAAUUUAAGAAUUGGAAUUUUGGAAAUUAGAUUUAAAAACCUAAGCUUUGAAUAUUAAUAUUUGAAAACAUUAAUUGGGAAUUGAGAAUUUUUGGAAAAUUUAUUUGAAGAUGACAUUUUAAAAAUUAAAUUUGGAAUCUAAGAAUUUUUGGAAAAUUUAUUUGAAGAUGACAUUUUAAAAAUUAAAUUUGAAAUUUUGGAAAUUUUGAGAAUUGGAGUUUUGAAAAUUAAAUUUAGGAAAUGGAAUUUUGGAAAUUAAAUUUAAGAAUUGGAAUUUUGAAAAUUAAAUUUGAAAGAAAUUGGAAUUUUGAAAAUUAUUUAAGAAUUGGAAUUUUGGAAAUUAGAUUUAAAAACCUAAGCUUUGAAUAUUAAUAUUUGAAAACGUGAAUUGGGAAUUGAGAAAGAGAUGAGGGCAUUUAAAGAAAAAAAAGAAAAUUGGCCCAUCAAAUGCUAAUGGUGUAUAUAGAGGCUUCAUAUAUUUUAUAAUAAGUUGUGUAUAAUCAAAUUGUACUUUGUUGACUUUAUUUUUUUCUUUUGCUUCAUUUGAUCCAACCUUGUCUCUUAUUAUACUAAUGUUGUGGAUACCACGAAUUUGUGUAAGCUGAAUGAUGCAUUGGUCCAAUGCUCGUAACCCCACUUUGCACAAUAGCAUUAUUUGGACUUAGAUUGGCAAAGUCUUCAAGCAUUCUUAGUGCAGUCAAAGGAUUAAUAAUAAUAGUGGCUGCAUAUUCCACUCCUCCAAGGGAACUUCCCUCACCUGCUCACACAACGCUUCACCUCCGCCUCCGGUAAAGGCUUACAGUCCAUUAGUUAUCAGUUUGUUUUUCAUAAGCAAGUGAAAAAAAAGCAAAAGACAAAGAAAAAUGGGUCUUCCCGAAUCCGAAUCUGCUUACCAUUUUGAAUUAAAAUAGGAAAAGCAUAAAAAAAAAAAAAAAUCAAUUGCCACUUUUGGGUUGUUUCAAUGUGAAACUGAAAUUGAAUAAUGGAGGUGAAAGUCAAAAACCGAGAGGCAGCUAUUUGGGCUAUGAAAAUGAUUUAUAUAUUGGAGUAGUUUGAGGGUUGGCCAUUUAAACCAUGCACUAUGAACUUUUGCACUUUUCUCUUUGGCAGCUUGAGCCAACCAACUUACAGAACGACAAAAAAAUGAAACAAUGAUUCCAUGAGUUGUGUGUGUGCAGGUGGGUAAGAGUUGAAGGCAAAGCAUACGCUCUUGCAGGCCACCACCCGCCUGUUGUCUUGAGAUCUCACUUGGAAACCGACCAGACACAUGGUGUUGAGGAGGUUGAGGUUGGAAAGAUGAGCUGUGGGGAUAAAUUCAGCUGGUGAUACACACAACACUAUGCACUUGGAACACCCACCGAAAACAGAGAAGAAUAACAAGAAAAGAGAGCAUCCAAAAAGGAAAAACAGAACUGCACCAGUGUUUACCUGAGAACUCCUCCAAAAAAAUCCAGAUAUCCUCCCUAGUUGCUGUCCGUUUUCUUAUCCUAUGCUUAGCUCAUUCCCCUCUUGCUUCCCCAAAAAAAUCCUUAGACCCUCACUCCCCCCAGCUACCCCAAAAACCCACUCUCCAGAUUUUUUCUUCCCUAUCCCUCGGGAACUGAAAAUCUCCUCUACUCUUCCUUUGUUUUUCUCCCCAGAUAUCACCUUCCCUCUCACCCGUUCCAUUGCUCCCUAUCCACUUAGCUAGUCUCUACCCCAACCACCACCAUGGUGAGUUGGUGGUGUCCUUGGCCAUGCGUCCCAUGCAUGUGGCUCCUUCGAAAACCGUCCCCCCACUCAAAAAACCAGUUGCCAGCUCUCUCAUGCGUGGUGAAAAUAUGCUCCAAAAAUAACUAAAAAGACCUAGACCAAAAUGAGGGUCUACAAGGUAGUUCUACAUUUAUCUCAUUUUAACUUAAAACAAAGAAUAAAAUAUGAUUUAUAUUAUGAAAGUUUAGAACUUACUUAUGAAAUACUUAGAGGCAAAUAGGUAGCUCUUUUUUUUAGCUCAAAUUUUUAUUUUUAAAUUUUUCUUUAAGUAUUAUAGAUAAAAUAAAAAAAUUCAAUGGCACAAAGAGAACCAUUUACAUGGAAAACCACCCAUAAAGUCUCCCAAAAACUUUAAACAUGUGAAAACCAUGAGGUCAGAGACCAUAGUGAUAUAAUCCACUAAACAAGAAAAACAGGUAUUUAUUUUUACUUUAUGGUUACUACUCCCUCAGACUUACACCUCACAACUACAUUAAAUGUCAUGUCCAUGACAUAGCACCAUCGUGCUCCUCAAUGGACUCCUCAACACCUAGCAGAUGUGAUUCUCUCUCACAACCCUAAAAAAAAAUCACAAUCAAUCUGAAAGUUUCUUAUUAAGUGCACAUAAAACAACUUAAACCUUAUGCGUAUAAGUUCUUUGGAGAACUCUCCCAGUAGGUAUAUAUUAGAGAAAAUAUAGUGGACUUAGAAUUAAUUUAUAAAUCAUAUUUUAUCCAAAAUUAAUUUAGGAACUUAAGAAUCUUAGAAAGAUUUGGAAAGAUGUUUUUUUAAAAAAAACAAAAAAAAUAAAAAAACAAUUUAGGAAAUUUAAGAAUCUUAAAAAGAUUUUAUUUUUUUCAAUUAAAAAUAUUUUCUUUUUUAAAUUCUCAAUUUAAAAUUCUUUCAAAAUUAAUUUUAUUCUCAAUUUCCAUGCAUAUAAGUCCACUCUAUGUCUUUUAUAUCAUUAUUUUCAAUUAACUCAAUCAUACAUACCUAUUUAAUUCUAGGUUGAUUUUGUUAGCAACCUUCAAUCUUCAAAAUAUAUGUAAACCACAAGAAAGUACAUAUAGUCCUAAAACCAAAAUGGAUGGAAUAAAAUUAUCAACUUAAUCUAAAUAAUCUAAUCCACUAACAAUCUCCCAUUCUCUAGCAAUUUUUUGACAAACUAAUGAUUACAUAAAUCUCCUAAUAUUCUCAAACAAAGUUUACAAAUUGCUGAUCAAUGUCACUCAUCUCAACCAAACAUCCUAUAAAUUGAUUUUCAAUAUCUACAACUCAUCUAAAAAAUUCUUGAAAUCUAAAACAUGUAAUUUGCAUAUUCUUAAUCAAUAAAACAUGUGAAAAGUAGUGUGUGGGAAAAAAACCAAUAAAAUAAUAUAAUAUGAUCACAAUCCAUCUUGCUAGGAAAAAUAGUUACAUCUAAUUCAACUAGAAAAAAAAAAUUGGAUAUCUUCAUAAAUAAAUAUUAAUACAAAUUAUCAAUUAGAUAUCAAAAUAAUCAUAUGAAUUUCUCCCUCUUUUUGUUCUAAAAUUACUAAAAUAUUCAUUUCUAAUCGUUUAAGUUUCACUUAAGGCUAAUAGAGUGCCAAAGAUGCAAUUCCUGAGGUAGAGGAGGUGAAAUUCCAUAGUAGUGUGUGAUUUCAAAAUUGAGCAAAAUUUCAAAAUAAAUUUCAAAAUCAAGUUGAAUUUAUGAAACCACCAUUUCAACUUCAAAAUGGUCCUUCUAUUCUACCUAGUUGCCUUCUAAUGGCCCUAACCUAUUUGUUUUAGUUUUGAUUUGUGCACCAUUUGAAAUGUUGAACUCUUAACCUCUUAAGCUUCAAAACCAUGUAUAGCUUGCCCCAAAAAGAUCUUGGAAAGUGCUUUAAAAAUCAUGUCAAAUUCAAGGUAUGUCAUAUUGUUAUUGUAAUGUUUAAGUCUGAAAUUCCAUAUUAAGCAUGAUUGUAAUUAUUUCAAACCUUCUUCCUCAUGAUUGUUUGCCCUCUACCUCUAUCCAAAACAUUAGUUUUUCAUCUUUAAUGCUCAUAAAUUCCUUGUUUUUCCUUUGCCUUCUCAUGCCUUAUAAGUGUUGAAUCUCUCUUUAAGCAUAAUCGAUCUUAUACUCUACUUUGGAUGAAAGUGGCUUUAGCAACUUGUAUUUUUUUUUCUCUUUCAAACCUGAAAUUAAACUCAAAAUAUAUGUUCGAUCCAUAAUUAAGGUUUUAACAUCAAUUUGAGUUAAGUUGGAUGAUGUGAGUUUUUCAUAUUGCAUAAAUCAUAUCAUAUAUGUGUUAUUAGAUCACAUAUUUUGGCUCCAAUAAACCCCCUUAAUAGUUUAAGGCUUGUGGCUUUAUCCAUUCUGUCUUCCAAAACAAAGAACCCUAUACUCCAUCUUUAUGGAGAGGACUUCACCAUUAUUACUUGUCAAAGUCCAAGUGAGAGUUAUCAAGUAGAAGAUUGCAAGGUAUUUGAGACCUACAUCAUCAUUUUCUUCAUUUGGAUUUUGGUUUAGGAACAUCUAGAUCAAAGGUAUGUUUUUUAAGCCCUAAAUCUAUAGUUUUUGAAUUAUUAUCAUUUUUGUUGUGUAGAUCUAGUGAGCCUAGAUAACUAAAGAGCAUGCACCUAUGAUUUAGGGUUAUCCAAAUACGUUUAGUGCUUAAUGCCACCCCACCCUUUUAGUUCAUUAGUUUAAAGUCAAGAAACAAGAGUGAGUGUUGGGAUAAAGUUUGAAAUGCACAUACAUAUAGUUUGAGUCCAAUAGAUUCUCAUGUUCACAUAUAAUUGUUAUAAUCAAAAUGACACAUUUAGAAGAUAUUUCCCUAAGUUGUACCAUGAAAAGGUGGACAAAAUAUUAAAAAAAAAAAAUCUAAGAUGUAAUCAAAUCUUGCUAACCAAAGUGAAAGUGAUGAUGCUUCACAAUCCAUAUGCUUUGGUGCUUUGAGGUCUCUAAGAAAAAAAGAUAGUUUAUUCUGGUUCACAAAAACAUCAAGUGUUCAUGGAUACCAAACAUCAAAUAUAUUGAAAUUAUGUAGAAUUAAUGAGCUUUUCAAUAUUACAUCUUAAAGGGAAGAUCAUAUAUCCUCAAAAAUGGGCAUAAACACAAACACUCAUUCUAUGAACCUAGAGAAUUACCUUUUUUGGGAUCUAAAUAAUGUGAAGAAUAAAGGGAACCUAGGUGGCUUAAAGGCCAAACUACAUAAACCAAAAUAUGUGGUAAAUGUAAGAGUGCAUGUCACACAAUUUGAAAAUGGCCAAAGAUGUAAUCAAAUACAAAAUUUGAAUAGCAAUAUCACCUUACAAGAUGAGUCCCUCAAUUUACUUAUACAAGUUGACACAUCAAAUGAGGAGGAUCAUGCUCAUAUUCUAGAACAUAGUAAGACUCGAGUAAUAACCUUUAUUUUAUUUAUUUAUUUAUAUAUACUUAUUUCACUAUUAUUUAUAAUGAUUUGAAGUAUUUAUGUAACUCUCAAAUUGUAUCUACAAGAUCACAUAUAUUUUUUUCAUGAAAAUAUGAAACUAGAUCAACAUAUCGACCAUUGAUUAGUUUACGUGUUCUGUUUGACUAAUCAAUUACAAUUGUUUAUAUAGAUUAUUGUGAAGUUAAACAUAUAACUUAUAACUCAUAAGAUAUAAUUAGCAACUUAUGUCCUAUAUGUAGGAUGUGUAUCCACUUCACAUUGAUACCACUAUUGCUACAAUGGAUUCACAAGCAUUUUCUUCCAUAAAUAAGUCGUCCCCAAUUAUUUUACUCCUAUUUAGUAAAGUAUGAUAUUAUUGUAAUACAUGGAUUUAUUAAUAGUAUAUAUUAUCCAAAAUGAAUUUUUUUUUUUCAAGUCAAAGCGGAUUAGGCCAUUGUAUUAUGCAAACAAAUAAGAGCAUAAAAAUAGUGUUUUAAAAAGCGCAUUUCAGUACUCCCUAUGGCAAAAUGACAUAAAUGGAGUGGAAUUCAACUCUUAAGGGUGGAAUUUACCUAUGAAUAAAGUUAAAACAUUAUGUCAUAGCAACCUAAGAUUAAAAAGUCUAAAGGAAGUGUUAAAAUAUAGCAGGUAUUUAUAACACCUACUAUUGAUUUGAUCAUAUUUUUCCCUAAAUAGUGAAUUGCUCUAGAGAGUAGUUUUCUAUAUAUAUAUAUAUAUAUAUAUAUAUAUAUAUAUAUAUAAGUGGAAUUAAAAAAAUGAAAGCAAACACAUUUUCUUUGAUAUGAAAUUUCUUUACUUAGCACUUUAGAGAUCAAUAGGAAUGAAUUUUAUAACGAUUGAUACUCAGUCUUCUUCAUCAAAUCACCUCCUAAACAUUGAACUGCUCUAAUAAGCAGGUUUCUAAGUAGGUUAUAUAUAUAUAUAUGUAUAUAUAUAUAUAUAUAUAUAUUGAGAGAUAGAGAGCAAAGCACACUCAUUUGAUGAAAGCAAUCUAUAAAGUGUUUAAGAUAUAACUAUAUUGGAAUUCUUGAAGAUUAUUUUCAUUUCCUUCUAUCUUGAACAACUUAAUUCAAAAUUGACUCUAAUUUAUUUAUAUUACUUUCAUAAUAAUUGUUUAUUUAUAGGUCUCAUUUCUUUGGCUAAAUAUGCUUUAACCCUCAUAGGUUUUAAAUUUCAUCAAAAACCUCACUUAUUUUGAGUGAGAUAGGAGAUUAAUGAAAAGCUAAAAGAGGUAUUUGAUGAAAUUUCAAACCUAUAGAGGUUAGGUGUAUUUAGCCAAAAUCUCGAGAGAGAUUAAUGAAAUUAACUUCUCUUUCAAUUAUACUUUAUUCCCAUUUAUUCAUACAUUUUGUGGCAUUUUGAUUCAUCUAAUUUUUUUUUUCUAUUCUUUGAUACUAUUUGAUCAUACCUUGAAUUUAUUUUUUUGCACCUUCAAUAAUUUUAUUGAAAGUUGACUUCUAUCACUUCAUUAUAGCCUAGUCCUAUCUCUUUUAAAUUUGGUUCAAUUAAUUCACAUGUCUAUCUUAUUUCAUAGUAGUUAGUUCUAUAUAUUUGUAGAUUUAUCUCAUUGUUUAUAUGUUCAUCCUAUUUGUUCAUACAUCAAUCUUAUUUAUUUCUAUUUUGCUCAAUUUUAUUGAAAUUUGGCUCAUUUAAUUGUAUGUAUGUUUCAUUUAUUCCUAUACGACUCAUUUUUAGUCCAAUUUCAUUAUAUCUUGACAUUUCAAGAUUUUCAAGUGUUUUACUGAUUUCUAUGUGAGCAUAAAUAAUUAGCCCUAUUUUAUCUUUUAUUUAAUUCACUUUUAAGGCAUUAACAUUUCUCUUGUUAAAUUUGUAUUCAAAUGCUCAAGCAAUGGGUAAUAGAAUACUCUAUCAAAUUAAUUAUAAGAAAUUUUUUAAAAUAUUUAUAUUUUUUAUUAUUUAUUUAUUCAUACAUAUUAUGUGAAAAAUAUAUAUUAUGAUUAAUACAUUGAAAAAGAUUUUUUUUAAAAUAAAUUAAACAAAAAUCAAUUGAAGACAGAACCGAGCUUACAAGUGUAAAGAAAAAAUUAAUAAUUAGGGCUCUGUUUGGUAAUUGUUUUCGAAAACAAUUAUGAAAAAUAGCUUUUGAUAAUUGUUUUUGAAAAUUAGUUCGUAAGGUUUUAUAAAACAAAAGUCUGUUUAAAAACCUAAAAUGUUUUAAUCAAUUUUUAAUGUUUUUAAAUAUAUUUUAAAAAUAAUUUUUAUAUGUAUUAUUUUAUUAUACAAUUAUUUCUUAAAACAAUUCUUAAAAAACAAGUGAAAAUAGUUGAAAUAAAUUAAAAGAUAUUUUAAAAAAAAUAUUAUAUUUUCUAUUCUUGAUAAAAGAAAAUAUAUAAUUUUUUUUUGUUCAUCAAAAACAUGUUUUACAGAUUUUUUUUUUUUUUUUUAGAGAAGAAAAUAUUGUUCUCGAAACUAUUUCCAAACAUGCCUUAACACUGUGUUUUGUAAUAUAUCCUAACGGGUGACUCUUUCUGUAUCAGAUUUUUCCUUCAAUUAAUUAAAGUAGGGAGAAUUGUGUUUUGGGCCCAGAUGGGCCCAAAAAUUAACAUUUGGUCCAUAGAUGUUACAAAAUUAAGCCCAACAUCCAAACAAAGUCUCAAAAUUGAUAAAGAGGAUAUACAAUGUAUAAUUUGCUGAAAAUGCCAUUUGUUGGGUAUUUUUAAAAAAAAAAAAAAAAAAACUAAAAUCCACAUUAGAUUUCUCCCUUUGUUUUCCCCAAAUUGGAGUCUGCAUUAGGUGUUUUCACAUUCCUGACUUCGUCUCUCGUUUCCUCCCAAAGAAUGCCCUAAUCCUCUAUGCCAAUUUCGUUAUCUCUUGAUCUCGUCUUUCCCGGUCAUCUGAUUUUAGGUGUCGGUAGUGGAGUUUUUCAUCUCUAUUGAUCCAUUGUCGUCGACGAUCACCACUGGAUUUGGCCUCCGUGGCGAAGUAGUUGAUAGUUGAGGUUAGUAGGUUUAGCAAUUUCAUUUUAUGCUUCAUUUUGGCUAUCCAGACUAUUUGAUUUCAGCCCAAAUACAUUGCCCUAAUUUAUCUCGCAAUUUCAGUUUGCCAUAUAUUGUUCUCUCAUCGAUCCCCAUCGAUGGUGCCCUCCGUGUUGAGCAUUGUUGGAUUUUUUAGAUUAGAUGGGACUUUUUGGAGGUUGAUUGCUGUCUGAAUUGAGGAGGGAGCUUCUCUUACCAUCAGGCAAAGCAGUCUUUUUUUUAAAAAACUUAAACCCCGUAACUGAUGUUUUUUUUGUUUAACUUAUAUUUUUUUAUGGGUAUUUUUUUAUUUAGCAUUAUGAUUAUCAACUCUUUAUUUUGUGUGGAUGACUUGAUCUCUUGAUUGCCAUAUUUCAUUGUGGGUUAUGGUGUUUAUAAGACAUGGCUCACAGUUUGAAAUAGUGAGCAUCUUCAUGGGUUAAUUGCAACUACAUGUCGUGGUAUCAACAGUUUUUGUUUAGAUAAUUAUGUUUGUGUUCAAUUUACAUGAUCGAUAGCCUUAACAUGCAAAACCCACUUCUUUUUAUUAACCUGUGAUGUCACCAUGAUUGACUUGUUUCUCCAUCAAUAUGACAACCCGUGAUUAGCAUGAACGAUAAUGGUGAUGAUGAAGAUGACAUAAAAAUAUAUUUUGAUUUUGCCUGGAUUUUACUUGGUUCACUGAUGUUUGUUCGAUUUAGUAUUGCAUAUUCAUUUUAGAAGUUUGUUUUAUACGUAUAUUUUAAUUCUAAUAUAUGAUUAGUCAAUGCAAAUUGAUUUUCCUUUUGCAGACAUAUUUUUCCUCCUUUGGUUCAAAUCAAAUCUGUUAGCAUUAUAUUUACUUCCUCGUGUGGCAGUCUAGUUCAGUACAAUAGUUCGUUUGUUAACUUUCUUUGAUAAAACCUAAGUUCUGGUCACCCUAUAGUAUGAGAUAUUGUGGGCUACUUAGUAUGUGUAGAUAGAUUAUCAUUUCCAACUUCAUGAAAUUUGUAGCUAACAUGAAUAUAAAUGGCAAAUAAAGAAACAAAUUAGUUCAAAGCUAGUUCAAUGACCCUUAAUUAUAUUAAAUCAGACCAGUAACUAGGGAUUCAAUACAUAACAAAUCAAUUAAGGGAUUUCUCAUUGAAAUCCAAAAUGGUUUCCAAUAAUCAUUCUAGUGCCCAAACACCUCCUUCCAUGUUUACUAUUCAUUGAUGCUGAAUAUCAAAUGCAUGCAAGUCAAUAUUAUUUUCAGCAUACAAUUCAACCAGAACAAAAUUCAGAGAAAUUUGAAGCUGACUAUUAAGCAUGAGCCAAAACACUAACCACAUAGCCAUCAUCUGUCCAUUUAUGAGUGUCAAAAGUAAGUGCGAUGUUGCCAUUGGGAUCUAGAAAGUCAUAACACUCUGCAAAAAUAGAGAAAUAGUCAACCAACUUGUUAAAAAAUAGAAUAAGUGAAGUAACAAAAGGAAAAGUCUAUGUAUAAAUGAUGACUAAUAAACUGGACAUGGCAACUAAUAAUAAUGUCAACUUCAAAGCAAAAGCCCACAUGGGAGGAAAGAUCAACCCCAUUUUCUAUAAUAUGCAUAAUUGUUUGUUCUAUAAUAUGAAAUUUGUGCUAUGUUUGUAUAGGUUGAUGGAUGCAACUAAUAAGAUAUAUUGUUACAUUUUCAUAGGAGGCAAAACUUCUCUAAAAAAAUGAUGGGCAAUAGGAAUACGUGGGUAGAAGAAGCAAAGGUAUUCACAUUUAUAAAGGAAUGCCUUUUGAAGAAUUCACCAAAAAAAUCUUAGAGAAAUUUGACAUCUCCUUUGAUGCGAUGAAAAUGCACUACACCCUCAAGUUCAACCCCAGAGUCAUCAAAGAUUUAGAAGAUGAGAAUGACUUGGAUAACGUGGUUUCCCACUGUGAUGACUUUGCAAAUGUAUACCUAGUAGACUUACCUUAUGUGGAAGCCAUUGAAGCAAAUAUACCGAAUACACAGUUGGCAUUUGGGUAAUGGAAUUUAACAUGAAUGUCUAUUUAAAAUAUUGUGAAUAUCAAUUUUACGCAUCAUGUAGUCUAAUUAUGUUAAUGUAUGUAAAUGUAGAGGUCCACCUACCACGUUUCCUUCCUCUAAUGCAUCAUGCGAUGCAAUUCCUAAUACUAUGAUGCUAUCCAGAGGUUUUGCGUUGCAUUGUGUAGUUAGUGAGUACACCCCUUUGGAAUCGAUUUGUUUUCGCCAGGCAAUAUUAGGAUCGGGACAUACAUUUAAAAAUGCUGAGGAGUUUUGGAACGCAAUUUACCAUAUGUCAUUAGGUGGAAGGUUUGAAUACAAGUACAAGAAAAAUUCCCCUACACAUACGUCUGUAAAGUGUUCAGUUGAGGGUUGUCCUUGAAAGAUAACAGCUCAUGCUAUAGAGGAAAAAGUCAUCUUGCGAGUUCAUACUUACCAAGUGAAUCAUAAUCAUAUAGCUCAAGAUGAGUGUUCAUCUAAGGUCAAGGUUUCUUCAAAGAGAGGCACAGUUGUUGUUGAAGAUGUGUUUAGAACCACUCCAAACUAUCUUCCCCAUCAAAUUUGUAAGGAUUUUGAACGUGAUCAUGGAGUUCAAUUGACAUAUAACCAAGCAUGGCACCUUAAAGAGAAGGCAAAAGAGCGCAUAUAUGGAGCUCCACGUGAGUCCCACACGUUUGUCCCUUGGUUAUGCCAUAGGCUAAGGGAAAUCAACCUCGACACUAUUGUAGAGUACACUUCCCAUGAAGGUCACUUCAUGCAAUUGUUCAUUGCCCAUGCAUUUUCAAUUCAAGGGUUCAUCAUGGGGUGUCGACCUGUAUUGGCUAUUGAUUCUUACCACCUAAGCGGUUCAUAUAAGGGAGCUCUUUUGUCCACCAUUGCAUAUGAUGCAGAUGAUGGAAUGUUCCCUCUAGCCCUUGGUGUGGUCAGUUUUGAAAAUUAUGAGGACUAGUAUUGGUUUUUGGAGAAAUUAAAGGGAGUCUUAGAUGGUAAAGAAGUUGUUAUUAUAUCAGAUAGACAUCAGGGAAUCUUGCGUAGUGUUUUCGAGUUGUUCGAGAUAGGAAAUCAUGCAUAUUGUUAUUGACAUGUGAAGGAAAACUUUUCUAACUUCUUUAAUAAGCAAAACAUUAGAGGAAAGAAAGGGAAAGAAGAUGUUUUGUUAUUCUUGGACAACAUUGCAUAUGCUAGGUUGGAUAUAGACUACAACGAGGCAUUCCAAAAACUUGUGCGCUUCAAUGACAACCUAGCAAAAUGGGUUGCGAAAAACAAUCCCAAACAUUGGGCAAUGUCAAAGUUUCUUCGAAAGUGAUGGGAUAAAAUGACAACUAACAUUGCAAAGUCCUUCAAUGUAUGGUUAAGAGAUGAGCAUCACCAAACAAUUUAUACGUUAUUGUUAAUGCACAUGGAUAAGCUUGUAGCCAUGUUGGACACCCAUGUGUGGUACAGAAAAGUGGAAGAGCGUGGUCAGACCAAAAACUGAAGAGCAACUAAUGUCAAAUAUCAUGAGGUCUGGUCUGAUUAGUGUGUUGCCCUAUUUGGGGGAGGCGUUUAAGGUGUUUACUGGGGAGGUUUAUUUGGUUGUCGAUUUGAAUCAACGUACGUGUACUUGCAUGACAUGGCAAAUGUCCGGCUUGCCAUGUUCACAUGUAUGUGCUGUCAUCCGCACACUGAGACACAACGUGUAUGAGUAUAUUGACCCAUGUUUUCAUGUCUCCACGUAACAUUUGAUUUACUCAGGUCAGUUUCAACCAUUACCAACACAUAAUAUGCCCAAAGUUUGUGACGAUGGGAGUUUGCAACAUUGCACAAGCAGCUCUUUCCUGCUCUCCAACCCCCCCCCCCCCCCCCAUGUGAGAUGUCCUCUAGGAAGAACCCAACAAGGACGUAUUGAGUCACAGUUUAGCCAUAAGAGAGCAAUUCAUUGCUCUCGAUGCAAUGACAUAGGUCACAACCGGUCUAAAUGUAAUAAUCCAUUAUCGUGACAUGUACAUUUUUUGUGUUUGUAUGAUUCUCAUAUUUUGUAUCAUCCUAUACAUUCUAUUGUAGGGUAUAUGGUACGGGGUUGUUGAUUUUUGUUCUUAUGUAUUGGCCUCGUUAUAGGCACGAUGCACUAUUUUGUUAUUUUCAUGAUUUAGGGUUGCUUUGAUUAACCAAAUUAAUUGAAAGUGCAAUUUCAAUGUGGUUUCUUUUCACUUGUUAUUUCAUUCCAUCAGUGCAAAUAAAUGAGGAUGACAGUUUAUUAUUAAUUUAUUCACAUAUUGGGGUUCACAAUUCUUGUUUUUUCCAAUCCAGAGAGACUUCCCCUUUCCUUUUUUAAAUUGCCUUAUUGUUAUUUAUUUAAUUUAUUUUAACCUUAUAAAUCUGAAUAUGAUAUACCAUUACCAAAUUUAUCCAACCAAUUAAUGGUACAAAUGGUCAAAUGACCUUUCCAUUUAUUAUUAGCUUCUCCAAGUGACCGAUAACUACUAUAGCACCCAUUUCAAGUUACAGGUUCUUUGAAGGUUCAAGCUUACAACAAUAAUUUCAUUCUUUAAUGGCCACUACGGAGGUAAUGCAUUCUUUCUUGUUUUUUAAUUUUCAUCACUUAUUUCGGGGACUUGAUAUUUUAACCCACUUAAGACAGUUACUUGUUUUGGGUGUUAAAGAUUCAUUAUUACAUAAACAUCCACUAGUAAAUUAUUCAUCCACAUUAAUUUGUUUGUUAGUUCAUUCAAUUGUAUUGCUUUUUUUACCACGUUUAUGUAUUCAUAUUGAUUUUCUUAUUUCUUUAUUGAUUACUAAAAUUCAUGUGUAAGAUGCUAAUGAUCUCCAACAAUUUUUUUGCAGGCCACCAGAUUAUUCACACGUUGUUCAUCUUCAAGAUUCCUAAAACUAUGCAACAGGCUCCCAAUUUGAGAAAUUGGAUGUGGUUCGAGACCUUCAGUUUGGAGGUCUUCUCAACUUAAACUGCAAGGAGAUACGACAUAAUAUAUGUCUAUGACUAAACUACGGUUGGCGACCCAUUCAUCUUUUCUCUCAUUCCCUCAUUCUCUCACUUCCCCAAUCACACCCGUUUUCAUGUUUAUUAUUAUUAUUAUUAUUAUUAUUAUUAUUAUCAUUAUUUCUUGAUUUUUCUUGAUUUGAUUUUAAUAGUAAUUGUUGUUGAAAUUGGGCUUGUGCAUUUAUGUCUGUUUGUGGGCUUUAUGUUUGGGCUUUGUUAAUUAAUAUGAAAUUUGGGUUAAUUUAUUAUUGGUGAAUUAAUUUGAAAUUUGUUAAUUUGGGUUUGUGGGAUUAAUUGAGGAUAUUUGGACUAUAUCAAUUGCAUAUUGUUUAUUUGGACUAUAUCAAUUAUUGCUUAUUUGGACUUGGGCUAUUGUUAAUUGGUUAUUUGUUUAUGUUUAUUGGAUUGGGAUUGAAAUAUUAUUUGGCUUAUUAAUUGGUUAUUUGUUUGAGCUUAUUAGGUUAGGCUUGAGAUAUUAUUUCUUUUGGCCAUGUGUAGAUAUUAUUUCUUUUUGUCAUAUGUAUUAUUAAUGUGGACUUAUUAGAUUGGGUUUGAGAUAUUAUUUCAUUUGGUCAUGUGUAUUAUUAAUGUGAGCUUGUUAAUUGAUGUGAAUUUUGGGCCCACAAGUAGGUGAGAUUUGUUGGAUGAUUUGAAUAUUUGAUAUGGAUUGGGCCAAUUUGAACUAUUUCAUUUGAACAUGGGACAAUUGUGGUAUAUAUUAAAUUAGGCUUGGAUUAUGGAAUAUUAAAUUUCGGCCUAAUGAGCUUUAUCUUAAUUUAUCAUGUUUUGGGUUUGAUUAAUUGAGCUUAUAUUUUGACUAUUGAUUUUGAAACUUUAGAUUAAGGUCUAUGAUAUGUGAGAUGUUUUUUUUGGGUUAUAUUUAUUAAUUUGAGCCCAUUUUUAAUUGGUGAAAUUUAUUGGAAAUUUGAAUUUGGGUUUGAAUAGUUUUUUUGGACUCUACAUGUUUUUGGAUAUUUAUAUUUGUGCUAUUUUUGUUUUUGCAUGGGUUCACUCUACAACCUUGUUGGCUGAGUACGAAUUGACAACACGUGAAGCUUGUUGUAAGUUAAUUUGAGUACAUAUUUUAUUUCCCACUUUUACUUGGUUUUAUUUUUAUUAGUUCUUGUAAAUAUUUGUUUGUAUAUGUUUAUUUGUUGCGUACAGAAUUGAAUAUUGAACAAAUUAGAAAUUUUGUUUAAAUAAGAAGAAUAAUUCAGUAAAUAUGUUUUAAUAAAAUAAUAAUUUAAAAAUAUUCUCCUUAAUAAAAGAAAGUUUUUUUAUAUUUAUUUAUAAAAAUUUAGAAAAAUAAAAAAGAAUUGUUUUUAAUAGAAUUUAAAAAAUUAUUUUUAAUAAAAUUGUCCAAAAGUUUCUUUGUUUAAUAAAAAUUGUCUAAAAAUUGUUUUGUAAAUAAAGUUGCCCCAAAAAUUAAUUUUUAAUAAAAUUGUCCAAUUUUUUUUCUUUUUCCUUAAUUAAAAUGGGGUUAAAAGCAUUUUUUAGAAAUAGAGGAUUUAAUUUUUUUUUUCUUCUUCUUUUUAAUUAAAAUUUCUUUUGCAAAUAAAGUUGUAUUUUUAAAUAAUUUGUAUAAAUCACUCUUUUUUUUAAAUGAAAAUGAAUCAAAAUAAUUUUGUAAAUAAAAUUGUAAAAAUUCAUUCAUUUUUUUUUUUUUGUAAAAUCAAGUAAAAUAAUUUUUGUGCUCAAAUUGAAAUUUUGUAAUAAAUUCUUUUGAUACAAUAAGUGUAAAUAACUUUUUUAAAAAUUGAAUACAAAUGAAAUUGAAUAAAUAAAUUGAAACUUCUUUUUUUUUUUUUGUAAAUAAAUAAAUUGAAAUCAUUAAUUCAAAAUCAUUUUUUAUAAAAUUCUUUGAAAUUUCUUGAAAACCAUUUUUUUUAGUUCAAUAAAUCAUUUUUGCACAAUUCUUUUGUUAUUAAUUUCAUGUAUUCUUAUAAUUAGAUUUCAUCAUUAUUUUUGUGUAUAUUGAUUUUCAUCAUGACUUGUACAUUGAUUAUUUUUCUUGAUAUCCAUAAUUAAUUAAUUAAUUGUCACAAUUCCCUUGAUUCAUUUAGUAGAGGCCGUAUGUAUACGGGGUUAGAGGGGUAUUACGGCUUAUCACGGACCUUCCCAAUAAGUAAUCUGACCCCUGAACCCGACUUUGGUUUUCCAUAGACCUGUUUUUCUUUUAGGAGUCACACUUAAGGUUUUUCUUUCUUAUUUUGUUUUUCCCUUUAAAAAAAAUUAAAAUAAGUGGCAACUACAAGUCUUUUCUAAAAAUCAAUUUUUCACUAAACAAAUAAAAAAACGAAUCACGCCGUUGAGUGGGAAUGCACGUGAAAAUGUAGGAUCCACAUCUGUCCAAUUUAAUCUUUAAAUGAUUGAGAAACUAUUUGAAAUAUCAAUAUCCAUAUGUAUUUAUUUUUCAUUAACAAAGGUAAUCAUUUUCAUAUUAAAAGAAAAAAAGAAAUCAUCUGCUAUCAACUCUUUCCAUAAUCAAAGCUAAAAAAUCUUUAAUUCUAUAGCGUCAUCUCCAUUCCAAUCAUCUUCCUUGUCUUUAUUUUCUUUCUUACAAGACUCAAAACAACUACCUCCUCGUUCAAAAGGCUAUAAUUAGAAUCUUUUGAAUCUAUAUAUUAAUCUCUUCCAUGCUUGGAUGCCUUGUUCCGCAUUGAUGAGAUAUUACUCUUUCCUAUAGUUAAUUUCUUAAAUUCAUACCAACACAUCAAAUAGUUUGAUACCAUUAAUUUGUUAUUAAGGCAUCGUGCUUGUAAAAAAUAAGAUACAUAUUGUCUAAUAAUUAAUUAAAUUUCUAUCAAUUUGUAUCUCAAAUGGAGGGUUCUCCCUACUAGUGAUUCAAUUGAACAAAUUCUUAUAAAACUUCUUAUGUUUAUUUAUUCCAGUCAAACAAAUUCAAUAGGUUUUGUAGAUUUUUAAGCAUAUGGUUGAUUUUAUCAUUAGUCCAGCUCCCCAUAGGAAAAUAUCCAAUUGUGUAUUCAUUGAUCAAUAAGAUUGACAUACAACUAAAUCCAUGCCCUUGUAAACGUCUUCCCUAAAUAAGAAAGAGAGAACACAUUUCCUAGUUUGAAAAGUCAAAUUGCUUAACAAAUUAUUGGAGCCUACAAUGCAUCUUUCCCUUUCAUCACUUUGCUGUCCAUGUCUUCAAUAAAAUGGCCUAAAGAAAAGUGUGAGGAUCCGCCAUCUAUCAUGACUUUAUGACUUAUUUUUUCCAUUUCUUUCCUCUUCUUCCUCACUUCACUAUUAAUAUUCAUUAGGUUCCUUAAUCCAUUUUCAAUCUCAUGAGCACUUACAAUAUGAUCACGAUCCUUAUUGUAAUCUAUUUUAAUUUCUACUGCCAACCCCAAAUCUUUCACCAUUUGAAAUGCGUUGAUUUGUUGUUCUGCAUAUAUUGGCCAUGUGGCUACUGGAACACCAUACCAUACGCUUUCUAGCAAAGAAUUCCACCCACAAUGAGAUACAAAUCCUCCAACAGCUGAGUGGGCUAAAACCGCUAUUUGUGGAGCCCAUCCAAUCACCUUUCCAAUUCUAGCCGUCCGAUGUAAAAAUCCUUCUGGUAGAACUUGCUCAAUAUUUUCAUGGUCGCUUGGAAUCAUUUUACCCUUUGGGGGAGGUUGGCGAAGGGACCACAAGAAGCGAUGCCCACUGUGCUCUAACGCAUGUGCUAUCUCCUUGAUUUGAUCCGCACCAAAGCUUCCCAUGCUCCCGAAGCACAGGAAAACCACGGACGAUGGAGGCUGAUCAUCAAGCCAAUUCAUGAUGGCACUAGCAUCUUGUUGACCCCCACCAGAUCCCAUUCGGGUGUUGAGUAUGGGUCCAACGGGAUACACCUCGGGUACUGUACUGCCAGAAAGUGAUUGAAUGGCAUGUGAUUCAAGCUCAAUAAACGUAUUUACCAGAAUACCCUUGACUUCUCUGAAUCUCCUCGUGUGAUACAGAAGCAUCUCAGCCCCUCCGCUUUCCUUGUCAAACAUCCCAGCAGGGAAGACCUUACCCGGAAUUGAGUUAACAAAAGUCGGAACAUCCAACUCAGCAUCCGAGUCCUUGAACUCAUUAAUAUCCAAGCCCUCAUAAUCAUGGAGGAACUGAACAUGUAACAGGAAGCCAAGAACAGCAGCGCCGGAAGAGAAGAAGAGAUAGGAAGGCACCCCAAACUCAUCGGCCACGUCAAUCAUGUGGGUGCAGAACAUAUCAAUAACGAACCCAGAGAGCCGAACCGAGUUGGAGCGAGUGAGCUCGUGGACGGCGUCUCGGACGAGUGGUAUGUGAACUUUGAGGAAUUCAGAGAAGAAGUGACCAGACGGGGUCGUUUCGGAGCUGACCUCUACAGGAGGAAGUGUGACGAAACGUAUGGAAUCAGAGUCCGUGUCCAUACCAUCAGUGGACCCAAACGGAAACUUCAUGAUGAAAAUCGUGAUUGAGAAUCGGGGGUCUCGCUUAGUAAUCAGCUUUGCAAUCUCCAGUGCAGACGCAAGGUGGCCGAUGACAGGAAAUGGGAUGAAGACCAGCUCAGUUUGCUCCAUCACCAACUAGCAGUUACUGCCAAGACAGAAAAAAGGGAUGUUUCGAGGGCUUUGCGGUGGUGUCACGCUCUUAUACUAGUGGCUGGAUAGUAUUGGAGGGCAAAGGAACCGAUGUCAAGUCUUAGCUGGUUCAAUGUAUUUUCUUUAUUGUUUUUGUAUGAUUUGUGGUUGGCGUUGGUUGAAGAUUGAGGCAAAAUGGGUGGUUCCAAUAUGCUACACCUUUCACAUAAAGUUCUUGGAGAUAUUUGGGUCAAAAUUUGUAAAUCCAACCUCUAUAUUGGUUUAAAGCUCCGUAAAUAAAAAUUUUAAAGGAAUAAAAACAUCUUAAUUUAAAAAAAUAAAAAAUAAAAAUUUGCUUUAGCAUAUAUGAAUGAUAUUUUUAUUUAAAAAAUAUUAUCAUUUUCGAUAUUUAAAAAAAUAAAGAGAAUUGUUUGAAUUAGAGAUUUUUUAAUUAUUUUAAUCAAAUAUCUCCAAUUUUCUUUUUUGUUUUUAUAAUGAUUUUUCAUUAACCAAACAAAAUAAGUAAGAAAUAUUAUCUUGAUAUUAGAAACAUAUUUCGGGGCAAUACUCACAAUUUUUUAUACAUAAAUAGGAUAUAUUAAAUUAGUAAAUUUUAAAUCUAUUCAAAUUGAUUCCAUUGUCAUAUAGGUUGAUUAUUGGGAUUUAAUUAUUACUUUUGAUCAACGAGAAAUUAUACAAGUCAUAAUUCAAAAUAUAUUCAAUCACACAAGAAUAUAAAAAAUAUUCGAAAAAACUCUUACAAAAAUUGUCUCCGCCAAUUUAGAUACAAAAACUUAAACACAAUAUUAAAAAUCCACUAAAUAUAAAAGAAUGUACACAUUUUACCUAACCCCAAAUACUUCUUUUUAUAAAUGUUAUAUCAAUCAACACUUAUGCGUAUUCAUCAUAUCUACAAUGCAAUAUUUUUCUAUGCUCCUUAAUUAGUGGAUCUGCUCAAACCCAUAUUAUGGCUUUGGAGCUCAAAUUUUCGAACUUUGCUUUUCAUGCUAAUUGAAAGGACUCUCAAGAUUUACUUUUCAGACUUGAUUUUGACUUUUUGAAGUAUAGGAACUAGGAAAAAUAAUGGUUAUCUUGUGGAAUUUCUUAGGGGUUUUUUUUAUUUCAUACCCCAAAAUGAAUUUUUCAAAUCCUUUUCAUACCUAAACCUUGGUUUUUUUUUUUUUUUUUAGUUUUAUCAUAUUUUAAAACUUAAUCUAGAAAAAUAAGAAUUUUCAAUCAUCAAUUUUCCCAAAAAGAAAAAAAAAAUCUAGACAAAAACACCUAAAAACUUAAGUUACCACUAAAUUAUUAAUUUUAUAACACCACUAUACCAUUUUUAAUUUCAGACUCAGAACAUAAUUAUAUUUUGAGCUUCAAAUUUUGUGUCUUCAACUUGAAUAUGUUAGUAUAAUACUCAUUGUAGUGAAAGUAGUCUUGAUUUAAUAAUCUUAGGAGUAAAAUUGUCACUCCAUUGUAAUACACUAACAAAGUUAAUACCAUAUAAAAAUAAAUUUAGAAACAUAUUUUAUAUAAAAAAAAUAGUUCAAAUUUUGGAAAAGUCUAUAGCACUAAAUUAAUAUGAAUUAAAAUUCAAAUUUGGACCCUUUCAAUUGUCCAAUAAAAUUUUUGUAUUAAAUGAAAGGACAACUAUAUGAAACCAGAUUACAAACAAAGGAGACCAAGGUAUUAAAUAAUGGGACCAAAGUAUAAAGCAAUAACAUUACUAAGGUACAAUGCAAUGGGACCACAUUAGAGAUACAGAGUAAUGAGAUCAAAUUCUAGGUUGAAUAUUGACACAAAAGGUAGGUGUGUGGACCCCGCAUUUUCGCUCAAUGCGUUCCCACUCGAUUGCGAAACUUGUUUUUUUAUUUAUUUGCUGAAAAUUUUAUUUUUUUGAAAAAGACCUAGAGUUACUGCUUAUUUAUGUUUUAUUUUUAAAGGAAAAAACAAAAUAAGAAAAAAAAACCCUAAGUGUGACUUUGGAAGGAAAAAUAGGUCGGUGAAAAAUCGAGUUCGAGUCCGAGGGUCAGGUUACCUAUUAAGAAGGUACGGUGGUGAACUGUAACACUCCUCUAAGCCCUAUAAUAAGGUCUCUACUAAAUAAGGUGAAACAAGUGUGACAAUUGAUAAGGAAAUUAAUGGAUACGAAUGAAAUGAUAAAAUAAUAAAACAAAUCGAGCAUGAGAAUAAGCAAAGUGGGAGUGAGAGAGUACCUUGACAACAAAUAAUAGUGCACUAUCAUGGAAACAAGGUUAGCUCAAGUAUAAAAUUAUCACAUGCAUAUCAAAGAGCAAGACAAAGAUCAAACGAUAUUCAUUAAGCAUAGUAGUUGACAAUCGGAAGAUAUCAUAUGUAGGGCCCCCACCAAAGCCCAAUUGAUUUUGUUUGAAUUAAUCCCACAAAUUCCAGUGUUUUAGAAUUAUGAGAAUUGUCUUCAUGCUUAUUAAAAAUCAAGGAAAGCAUUUUAAAAUCAAGGAAAAUUUGUGAAAGUGCUUAUUUGAAAGGAAAUGUAGCAAGUUUAUUUAAAACGAGAAUUUUAGUGACUUAAAAUCCUAAUGAAUGAUGAAAAAUGGUAGAAUUAAAAAAUAUAUAUUUGAAAAUUGGAGUCAAAUUAAAAUUAUUUGAAAAACUAAAAUUUGAAAAUUAAGUCUCGAAAAUUAUUUGAAAAUUGAAGUUUUGAAAAUUAAAUUUAAGAAUUAGAAUUUUUGAAAUUAAAUUUGGAAAUUAUUUGAGAAUUGGGAUUUUGGAAAUUAUAUUUAAAAACCUAAGCUUUGAAUAUUAAUAUUUGAAAACGUGAAUUGGGAAUUGAGAAUUUUUGGAAAAUUUAUUUUAAGAUGACAUUUUAAAAAUUAAAUUUGGAAUCUAAGAAUUUUUGGAAAAUUUAUUUGAAGAUGGCAUUUUAAAAAUUAAAUUUGGAAUUUUGAAAAUUUUGGAAAUUUUGAAAAAUGGUAUUUUAAAGAUUAAAUUUGGAAAUUGGAAUUCUUGGAAAUUUUGGAAAUUUUGAGAAUUGAAGUUUUGAAAAUUAAAUUUAGGAAAUGGAACUUUGGAAAUUAAAUUUAAGAAUUGGAAUUUUGAAAAUUAAAUUUGAAAGAAAUUGGAAUUUUGAAAAUUAUUUGAGAAUUGGGAUUUUGGAAAUUAGAUUUAAAAACCUAAGCUUUGAAUAUUAAUAUUUGAAAACAUGAAUUGGGAAUUGAGAAAGAGAUGAGGGCAUUUAAAGAAAAUAAAAAAGAAAAUUGGCCCAUCAAAUGCUAAUGGUAUAUGCAGUGGCUUCAUAUAUUUUAUAAUAAGUUGUGUACAAUCAAAUUGUACUUUGUUGACUUUAUUUUUUUCUUUUGCUUCAUUUGAUCCAACCUUGUCUCUUAUUAUACUAAUGUUGUGGAUACCACGAAUUUGUGUAAGCUAAAUGAUGCAUUGGCCCACAAUGCUCGUAGCCCCACUUUGCACAAUAGCAUCAUUUGGACUUAGAUUGGCAAAGUCUUCAACCAUUCUUAGUGCGGUCAAAGGAUUAAUAAUAACAGUGGCUGCAUAUUCCACUCCUCCAAGGGAACUUCCCUCACCUGCUCACACAACGCUUCACCUCCGCCUCCGGUAAAGGCUUACAGUCCAUCAGUUAUCAAUUUGUUUUUCAUAGGCAAGUGAAAAAAAAAAAGCAAAAGACAAAGAAAAAUGGGUCUCCCCGAAUCCGAAUAUGCUUACCAUUUUGAAUUAAAAUAGGAAAAACAUAAAAAAAAAAAAAAAACAAUUGCCACUUUUGGGUUGUUUCAGCGUGAAACUGAAGUUGAAUAAUGGAGGUGAAAGCUGAAAACCGAGAGGUAGCCAUUUGGGCUAUGAAAAUGAUUUAUAUAUUGGAUUAGUUUGAGGGUUGGCCAUUUAAACCAUGCACUGUGAACUUUUGCACCUUUCUCUUUGGCAGCUUGAGCCAACCAACUUACAAAAUGACAAAAAAUGAAACAAUGAUUCCAUGAGUUGUGUGUGUGCAGGUGGGUAAGAGUUGAAGGCAGAGCAUGCGCUCUUGCAGGCCACCACCCGCCUGUUGUCUUGAGAUCUCACUUGGAAACCCACCGGACACAUGGUGUUGAGGAGGUUGAGGUUGGAAAGAUGAGAUGUGGGGAUAAAUUAGGCUGGUGAUACACACAACACUAUACACUAGGAACACCCACCGAAAAUAGAGAAGAAUAACAAGAAAAGAGAGCAUCCAAAAAAAGGAAAAACAUAACUGCACCAGUGUUGACCUAAGAGCUCCUCCAAAAAAAUCCAAAUAUCCUUCCUAGUUGCUACCCGUUUUCUUGUCCUAUGCUUAGUUCAUUCCCCUCUUGCUUCCCCAGAAAAAUCCGUAGACCCUCACCCCCCCAACUGCCCUAAGAACCCACUCUCCAGAUUUUUUCUUUCCUAGCCUUCCGAAACUGAAAAUCUCCUCUACUCUUCCUUUGUUUUUCUCCCUAGAUAUCACCUUUCCUCUCACCCAUUCCAGUAGUCCCUAUCCACUUAGCCAGUACCCCAACCACCACCAUGGUGAGUUGGUGGUGUCCUUGGCCAUGCGUCCCAUGCAUGUGGCUCCUUCGAAAACCGGCCCCCCACUCCAAAAACCAAUUGUCAGCUCUCUCCUGCAUGGUGAAAAUGUGCUCCAAAAAUAACCAAAAAGACCUAGACCAAAAUGAGGGUCUAUAAGGUGGUUCUACAUUUCUCUCAUUUUAACUUAAAACAAAGAAUAAAAAUAUGAUUUAUAUUAUGAAAGUUUAGAACUUGCUUAUGAAAUACUUAGAGGCAAAUAGGUAGCUCUUUUUUUUAGCUCAAAUUUUUAUUUUUAAAUUUUUCUUUAAGUAUUAUAGAUAAAAUAAAAAAAUUCAAUGGCACAAAGAGAACCAUUUACAUGGAAAACCACCCAUAAAGUCUCCCAAAAACUUUAAAGAUGUGAAAACCAUGAGGUCAAAGACCAUAGUGAUAUAAUCCACUAAAUAAGAAAAACAGGUAUUUAUUUUUACUUUAUGGUUACUACUCCCUCAGACUUACUCCUCACAACUACAUUAAAUGUCAUGUCCAUGACAUAGCACCAUCGUGCUCCUCAAUGGACUCCUCAACACCUAGCAGAUGUGAUUCUCUCUCACAACCCUAAAAAAAAAAAUCACAAUCAAUAUGAAAGUUUCAUAUUCAGUGCACAGAAAAAAAAAAAAAAAACUUAAACCUUAUGCGUAUAAGUUCUUUGGAGAACUCUCCCAGUAGAUAUAUAUUAGAGAAAAUCUAGUGGACUUAGAAUUAAUUUAUAAAUCAUAUUUUAUCAAAAAUUAAUUUAGGAACUUAAGAAUCUUAGAAAGAUUUGGAAAGAUGUUUUUUUUUUUUUAAAAAAAAAAAAAACAAUUUAGGAAAUUUAAGAAUCUUAAAAAGAUUUUAUUUUUUUCAAUUAAAAAUAUUUAGAAAUAUUUUCUUUUUUAAAUUCUCAAUUUAAAAUUCUUUCAAAAUUAAUUUUAUGCUCAAUUUCCAUUCUUAUAAGUCCACUCUAUGUCUUUUAUAUCAUUAUUUUUAAUUAACUCAAUCAUACAUACCUAUUUAAUUCUAGGUUGAUUUUGUUAGCAACCUUUAAUCUUCAAAAUAUAUGUAAAUCACAAGAAAGUAUAUAUAGUCCUAAAACCAAAAUGGAUGGAAUAAAAUUGUCAACUUAAUCUAAAUAAUCUAAUCCACUAGCAACCUCCCCUUCUCUAGCAAUUUUUUGACAAAAUAAUGAUUACAUAAAUCUCCUAAUAUUCUCAAACAAAGUUUACAAAUUGCUUAUCAAUGUCACUCAUCUCAACCAAACAUCUUAUAAAUUGAUUUUCAAUAUCUACAACUCAUCUAAAAAAUUCUUGAAAUCUAAAACAUGUAAUUUUCAUAUUCUUAAUCAAUAAAACAUGUGAAAAGUAGUGUGUGUGAAAAAAACCAAUAAAAUAAUAUAAUAUGAUCACAAUCCAUCUUGCUUGGAAAAAUAUUUAUAUCUAAUUCAACUAGAAAAAAAAAGGAUAUCUUCAUUAAUAAAUAUUAAUACAAAUUAUCAAUUAGAUAUCAAAAUAAUCAUAUGAAUUUCUCCCUCCUUUUGUUCUUAAAUUACUAAAAUAUUCAUUUCUAAUCGUGUAAGUUUCACUUAGGGCUAAUAGAGUGCCAAAUAUGCAAUUCCUGCGGUAGAGGAGGUGACAUUCCAUAGUAGUGUGUGAUUUCAAAAUUGAGCAAAAUUUCAAAAUAAUUUUCAAAAUCAAGUUGAAUUUAUGAAACCACCAUUUCAACUUCAAAAUGGUCCUUCUGCUCUACCUAGUUGCCUUCUAAUGGCCAUAACCUAUUUGUUUUAGUUUUGAUUUGUGCACCAUUUGAAAUGUUGAACUCUUAACCUCUUAAGCUUCAAAACCAUAUAUAGCUUGCCCCAAAAAGAUCUUGGAAAGUGCUUUAAAAAUCAUGUCAAAUUCAAGGUAUGUCAUAUUGUUAUUGUAAGGUUUAAGUCUGAAAUUCCAUAUUAAGCAUGAUUGUAAUUAUUUCAAACAUUCUUCCUCAUGAUUGUUUGCCCUCUACCUCUAUCCAAAACAUUAGUUUUUCAUCUUUAAUGCUCAUAAAUUCCUUGUUUUUCCUUUGCCUUCUCAUGCCUUAUAAGUGUUGAAUCUCUCUUUAAGCAUAAUUGAUCUUAUACUCUACUUUGGAUGAAAGUGGCUUUAGCAACUUGUAUUCUUUUUCUCUUUCAAACCUGAAAUUAAACUCAAAAUAUAUGUUAGAUCCAUAAUUUAGGUUUUAACAUCAAUUUGAGUUAAGUUGGAUGAUGUGAGUUUUUUAUAUUGCAUAAAUCAUAUCAUAUAUGUGUUAUUAGAUCACAUAUUUUGGCUCCAAUAAACCCCCUUAAGAGUUUAAGGCUUGUGGCUUUAUCCAUUAUGUCUUCCAAAACGAAGAACCCUAGUCUCCAUCUUUAUGGAAAGGAUUUCACCAUUAUUACCUGUCAAAGUCCAAGUGAGAGUUAUCAAGUAGAAGAUUGCAAGGUAUUUGAGACUUACAUCAUCUUUUUUUUCAUUUGGAUUUUGGUCUAGGAACAUCUAGAUCAAAGGUAUGUUUUUUAAACCCUAGAUCUAUAGUUUUUGAAUUAUUAUCACUUUUGUUGUGUAGAUCUAGUGAGCCUAGAUAACUAAAGAGGAUGCACCUAUGAUCUAGGGUUAUCCAAAUGGGUUUAGUGCUUAAUGCCACCCCACCCUUUUAGUUCAUUAGUUUAAAGUCAGCAAACAAGAGUGAGUGUUGGGAUAAAGUUUGAAAUGCACAUACAUAAAGUUUAAGUCCAAUAGAUUCUCAUGUUCACAUAUAAUUGUUAUAAUCAAAAUGACACAUUUAGAAGAUAUUUCCCCAAGUUGUACCAUGAAAAGGUGGACAAAAUAUUUUUUUUUAAAAAUCUAAGAUGUAAUCAAAUCAUGCUAAGCACAAUGAAAGUGAUACUGCUUCACAAUCCAUAUGCUUUGGUGUUUUGAGCUCUCUAAGAAAAAAAGAUGGUUUAUUUUGCUUCACAAAUACAUCAAAGUUUCAUGGAUACCAAACAUCAAAUAUAUUGAUAUUAUUUAGAAUUAAUGAGCUUUUCAAUAUUACAUCUUAAAGGGAAGAUCAUAUAUCCUCAAAAAUGGGCAUAAACACACUCAUUCUAUGAACCUAGAGAAUUACCUUUUUUGGGAUCUAAAUAAUGUGAAGAAUAAAGAGAACCUAGGUGGCUUAAAGGCCAAACUACAUAAACCAAAAGAUGUGGUAAAUGUAGAAUGCAUGUCACACAAUUUGAAAAUGGCCAAAGAUGUAAUCAAAUACAAAAUUUGAAUAGCAAUAUCACCUUACAAGAUGAGUCCCUCAAUUUACAUAUACAAGUUGACACAUCAAAUGAGAAGGAUCAUGCUGAUAUUCUAGAACAUAGUAUGACUUGAGUAAUAACCUUUAUUUUAUUUAUUUAUUUAUAUAUACUUAUUUCACCAUUAUUUAUAAUGAUUUGGAGUAUUUAUGUAACUCUCAAAUUGUAUCUACAAGAUCACAUAUCUUUUUUUCAUGAAAAUAUGAAACUAGAUCAACAUAUCGACCAUUGAUUAGUUUACAUGUUCUGUUUGACUAAUCAAUUACAAUUAUUUACAUAGAUUAUUGUGAAGUUAAACAUAUAACUUAUAACUCAUAAGAUAUAAUUAGCAACUUAUGUCCUAUAUGUAGGAUGUGUAUCCACUUCACAUUGAUAACACUAUUGCUACAAUGGAUUCACAAGCAUUUUCUUCCAUAAAUAAGUUGUUCUUAAUUAUUUUACUCCUAUUUAGUAAAGUAUGAUAUUAUUGUAAUACAUGGAUUUAUUAAUAGUAUAUAUUAUCCAAAAUGAAUUUUUUUUUAUAAGUCAAAGCGGAUUAGGCCAUUGUAUUAUGCAAACAAAUAAGAGCAUAAAAAAUAGUGUUUUAAAAAGCGCAUUUCAGUACUCCCUAUGGCAGAAUAAAUUGAGUGGAAUUCAACUCUUAGGGGUAGAAUUUACCUAUGAAUAAAGUUAAAGCACUAUGUCAUAGCAACCUAAGAUUAAAAAGUCUACAGGAAGUGUUAAAAUAUAGCAAGUAUUUAUAACACCUACUAUUGAUUUGAUCAUAUUGUUCCCUAAAUAGUGAAUUGCUCUAGAGAGUAGUUUUCUAUAUAUAUAAGUGGAAUUAAAAAAAAAUGAAAGUAAACACAUUUGAUAUGAAAUUGCUUUACUUAGCACUUUGGAGAUCAAUAGGAAUGAAAUUUAUAACUAUUGAUACUCAUUCUUCUUUAUCAAAUCACCUCUUAAAUAAUGAACUGCUCUAAUAAUCAAGUUUCUAAGUAGGUUAUAUAUAUAUAUAUAUAUAUAUUGAGAGAUAGAGAGCAAAGCACACUCAUUUGAUGAAAGCAAUCUAUAGAGUGUUUAAGAUAUAACUAUAUUGGAAUUCUUGAAGAUUGUCUUCAUUUCCUUCUAUCUUGAACAACUUAAUUCAAAAUUGACUCUAAUUUAUUUAUAUUACUUUCAUAAUAAUUAUUUAUUUAUAGGUCUCAUUUCUUUGGCAAAAUAUGCUUUAACCCUCAUAGGUUUUAAAUUUUAUCAAAAACCUCCCUUAUUUUGAGUGAGAUAGGAGAUUAAUGAAAAGCUAAAAGAGGUAUUUGAUGAAAUUUCAAACCUAUAGAGGUUAGGUGUAUUUAGCCAAAAUCUCGAGAGAGAUUAAUGAAAUUAACUCCUCUUUCAAUUAUACUUUAUUCCCAUUUAUUCAUACAUUUUGUGGCAUUUUGAUUCAUCUAAUUUUUUUUUCUAUUCUUUGAUACUAUUUUAUCAUACCUUGAAUUUAUUCUUUUGCACCUUCAAUAGUUUUAUUGAAAGUUGACUUCUAUCACUUCAUUAUAGCCUAGUCCUAUCUCUUUUAAAUUUGGUUCAAUUAAUUCACAUGUCUAUCUCAUUUCGUAGUAGUUAGUUCUAUAUAUUUGUAGAUUUAUCUCAUUGUUUAUAUGUUCAUCCUAUUUGUUCAUACAUCAAUCUUAUUUAUUUAUGCUUUGCUCAAUUUUAUUGAAAUUUGGCUCAUUUAAUUGUAUGUAUGUUUCAUCUAUUCCUAUACGACUCAUUUUUAGUAAUUUCAUUAUACCUUGACAUUUCAAGAUUUUCAAGUGUCUUACUGAUUUCUAUGCGAGCGUAAAUAAUUAGCCCUAUUUUAUCUUUUAUUUAAUUCACUUUUAAGGAAUUAACAUUUCUCUUAUUAAAUUUGUAUUCAAAUGCUCAAACAAUGGGUAAUAGAAUACUCUAUCAAAUUAGUUAUAACAAAAUUUUUAAAAUAUAUAUAUAUAUAUAUAUAUAUAUAUAUAUAUAUAUAUAUAUAUAUAUAUAUAUAUAUAUAUUAUUUAUUCAGACAUAUUGUGUGAAAAAUAUAUAUAUUAUGAUUAAUACAUUGAAAAAGAUUUUUUUUUAAAAAAAAUAAAUUAAACGGAAAUCAAUUGAAGGCAGAACCGAGCUUACACAGUAAAGAAAAAAAUAAUAAUUAGGGCUCUAUUUGGUAACUGUUUUCGAAAACAAUUAUGAAAAAUAGCUUUUGAUAAUUGUUUUUGAAAAUUAGUUCAUAAUGUUUUAUAAAACAAAAGUCUGUUUAAAAACCUAAAAUGUUAUAAUCAAUUUUUAAUGUUUUUAAAUAUAUUUAAAAAAUAAUUUUUAUAUGUAUUAUUUUAUUAUACAAUUAUUUCUUAAAACAAUUCUUAAAAAACAAGUAAAAAUAGUUGAAAUAAAUUAAAAGAUAUUUUUAAAAAAUAUUAUAUUUCUAUUCUUGAUAAUAGAAAAUAUAUAAUUUUUUUUUUGUUCGUCAAAAACAUGUUUUACAAAUUUUAUUUUUUUUAAAGAAGAAAAUACUGUUCUCGAAAUUGUUUCCAAACAUACCCUAACACUGUGUUUUGUAAUAUAUCCUAACAGGUGACUCUUUCCGUAUCAGAUUUUACCUUCAAUUAUUUAAAGUAGGGAGAAUUGUGUUUUGGGCCCAAAAAUUAACAUUUGGUCCAUAGAUGUUACAAAUUAAGUCCAACACCCAAACAAAGUCUCAAAAUUGAUAAGAAGGAUAUACAAUGUAUAAUUUGUCGAAAAUGCCCUCUACUGGGUAUUUAAAAAAAAAAAAAACUAAAGUCCACAUUGAAUUUCUCCCUUUGUUUUCCCCAAAUUGGAGUCUGCAUUAGGCAUUUUCACAUUCCUGACUUCGUCCCUCGCUUCCGCCCAAAGAAUUCCCUAAUCCUCUAUGCCAAUCUCGUUAUCUCUCGAUCUCAUCUUUCUCGGCCAUCUGAUUUUAAGUGUCGGCAGUGGAGUUUUUCAUCUCUAUCGAUCCAUUGUCAUUGACGAUCACCACUGGAUUUGGCCUCCAUGGAAAAGUAGUUGAUAGUUGAGGUUAGUAGGUUCAGCAAUUUCAUUUUUUACUUCAUUUCGGCUAUCCAGACCAUUUGAUUUCAGCCCAAAUACAUUGCUCUAAUUUAUCUCGCUAUUUCAAUUUUCCAUAUAUUGUUCCCUCAUCGAUCCCCAUAGAUGGUGCCCUCCAUGCUAAGCAUUGUUGGAUAUUUGAGGUUAGGUGGGACUUUCUGGAGGUUGCUUGCUGUCUGAAUUGAGGAAGGAGCUUCUCUUGCCAUCAGGUAAAGUAGUCUUUUUUUUUAAGCUUAAACCCCAUAACUGAUUUUUUUGGUUUAACUUAUAUUUUUUUAUGGGUAUUUUUUUAUUUAGCAUUAUGAUUAUCAACUCUUUAUUUUGUGUGGAUGACUUGAUCUCCUGAUAGCCAUCUUUCAUUGUGGGUUAUGGUGUUUACAAGACAUGGCUCACAAUUUGAAAUAGUGAGCAUCUUCAUGGGUUAAUUGUAGUUGCAUGUCGUGGUAUCAACAGUUUUUGUUUAGAUAAUUAGGUUUGUGUUCAAUUUACAUGAUUGAUAGCCUUGACAUGCAAAACCCACUUCUUUUUAUUAACCUGUGAUUUCACCAUGAUUGACUUGUUUCUCAAUCAAUAUGAGAACCCGCGAUUGGCAUGAAUGAUAAUGGUGAUGAUGAAGAUGACAUAAAAAUAUAUUUUGAUUUUGUUCGGAUUUUACUUGGUUCAUUGAUGUUUGUUUGAUUUAGCAUUGCAUAUUCAUUUUAGAAGUUUGUUUAAUACGUGUAUUUUAAUUCUAAUAUAUGACUAGUCAAUGCAAAUUGAUUUUCCUUUUGCAGACAUAUUUUUCCUCAUUUGGUUCAAAUCAAAUCUUUUACAUUAUAUUUACUUCCUUGUGUGGCAGUCUAGUUCAGUACGAUAGUUCGUUUGUUAACUUUCUUCGGUAAAACCCAAGUUCUUGUCACCCUAUAGUAUGAGAUACUGUGGGCUACUUAGUAUGUGUAGAUAAAUUAUCAUUUCCAACUUCAUGAAAUCUGUAGCUAACAUGAAUAUAAAUGGCAAAUAAAGAAACAAAUCAGUUCAAAGCUAGUUCAAUGACCCUUAAUUCUAUUAAAUUAGACCAACAACUAGGGAUUUCAUACAUAACAAAUCAAUUAAGGAAUUUCUCAUUGAAAUCCAAAAUGGUUUCCAACAAUCAUUCUAGUGCCCAAACACCUCCUUCCAUGUUUACUAUUCACUGAUGUUGAAUAUCAAACGCAUGCAAGGUGUAUAUUAUUUUCAGCAUACAAUUCAACUAGAAUGAAAUUCAGAUAAAUUUGAAGCUAUCGCUCAAGACCUUUGGUCUCUACCCGAACCCGAUGAAAAAAAUGGGAUCACUUCUUAUGAAACAUAAAUCAUGGAUCCACUAAGUCCUCUCGAGUCAGGGAAAACCUCUGAAAUUAUUUCCAAGUCACUUCUUUUUUUGUCCAAGUUGCUUCAGCAGACUGCCGGUGAUAAGCCGGAGGAAGGUGAGGAUGACGUCAAGUCAUCAUUAUUGAGCAUAAGCCAAAACACUAACCACAUAGCCAUCAUCUGUCCAUUUAUGAGUGUCAAAAGUAAGUGAGAUGUUGCCAUUGGGAUCCAGAGGGUCAUAGCACUCUGCAAAAACAGAGAAAGAGUCAACCAACUUGUUAAAAAACAAAAUAAGUGAAGUAACAAAAAGAAAAGUCUAUGUAUAAAUGAUGGUUGAUAAACUGGACAUGGCGACUAAUAAUAAUGUCAACUUCAAAGAAAAAGCCCACAUGGGAGGAAAGAUCAACCCCAUUUUCUAUAAUAUGCAUAAUUUUUUGUUCUAUAGCUAUAUUUGUAUAGGUUGAUGGACAGAACUAAUAGGAUAUAUUGUUACAAUUUCGUGGGAGGUAAACUUGUCCAAAAAAAUGAUGGGUAAUGGGAAUACGUAGGUGGAAGAAGCAAAGGUAUUCACAUAUAUAAAGGAAUGCCAUUUAAAGAAUUCACCAAAAAAAUCUUAGUGAAAUUUGACAUCUCCUUUGAUGCGAUUAAGAUGCACUACACCCUCAAGUUCAACCCCAGAGUCAUCCAAGAUUUAGAAGAUGAGGAUGACUUGGAUAACGUGGUUUCCCACUGUGAUGACUUUGCAAAUGUAUACCUAGUAGACUUACCCUGCAUGGAAGCCAUUGAAGCAAAUAUACCAAAUACACAGUUGGCAUUUGGGUAAUGGACUUUAACAUGAAUGUCUAUUUAAAAUAUUGUGAAUAUCAAUUUUACACAUCACGUAGUCUAAUUAUGUUAAUGUAUGUAAAUGCAGAGGUCCACUUGCCACGUUUCCUUCCUCUAAUGCAUCAUGCGAUGGAAUUCCUAAUACUAUGAUGCUAUCCAAAGGUUUUGCGUCUCGUCGUGCAGAUAGUGAGUACACCCCUUUGGAAUCGAUUCGUUUUCGUCAGACAAUAUUAAGGUCGGGACAUACAUUUAAAAAUGUUGAGGAGUUUCGGAACAUAAUUUACCAGAUGUCAUUAGGUGAAAGGUUUGAAUACAAGUACAAGAAAAAUUCCCUUACACAUAUGUCUGUAAAGUGUUCAGUUAAGGGUUGUCCUUGGAAGAUAACAGCUCACGCUAUAGAAGAAAAUGUCAUCUUGCAAGUUCAUACUUACCAAGUGAAUCAUAAUCAUAUAGCUUAGGAUGAGUGUUCAUCUAAGGUCAAGGUUUCUUCAAAGAGAGGCACGAUUGUUGUUGAAGAUGUGUUUAGAACCACUCCAGACUAUCUUUCUCAUCAAAUUUGUAAGGAUUUUGAACGUGAUCAUGGAGUUCAAUUGACAUAUAACCAAGCAUGGCACCUUAAAGAGAAGGCAAAAGAGGGCAUAUAUGGAGCUCCAUGUGAGUCCUACAUGUUUGUCCCUUGAUUAUGCCAUAGGCUAAGGGAAAUCAACCCCGACACUAUCACGUAGUACACUUCCCAUGAAGGUCACUUCAUGCAAUUGUUCAUUGCCCACGCAUUUUCAAUUCAAGGGUUCAUCAUAGGGUGUCGACCAGUAUUAGCUAUUGAUUCUUGCCACCUAAGCGGUCCAUAUAAGGGAGCUCUUUUGUCCGCCAUUGCAUAUGAUGCAGAUGAUGGAAUGUUCCCUCUAGCCCUUGGUAUGGCCAAUUCUGAAAAUUAUGAGGAUUGGUAUUGGUUUUUGGAGAAAUUAAAGGAGGUCUUAGAUGUUAAAGAAGUUGUUAUUAUAUCAGAUAGACAUCAGGGAAUCUUGCAUAGUGUUUUCGAGUUGUUCAGGACAGGAAAUCAUGCAUAUUGUUAUCAAUAUGUGAAGGAAAACUUUUCUAACUUCUUGAAUAAGCAAAACAUUAGAGGAAAGAAAGGGAAAGAAGAUGUUUUGUUACUCUUGGACAACAUUGCGUAUGCUAGGUUGGAUAUAGACUACAACGAGGCAUUCCAAAAACUUGUGUGCUUCAAUGACAACCUAGCAAAAUGGGUUGCCGAAAACAAUCCCGAACAUUGGGCAAUGUCAAAGUUUCUUCGAAAACGAUGGGAUAAAAUGACAAUUAACAUUGCAAAGUCCUUCAAUGCGUGGUUAAGAGAUGAGCGUCACCAAACAAUUUAUACGUUAUUGUUAAUGCACAUGGAUAAGCUUGUAGUCAUGUUAAACACCCAUAUGCGUGGUACAGAAAAGUGGAAGAGCAUGGUCAGACCAAAAAUUGAAGAUCAGCUAAUGUCAAAUAUCAUGAGGUAUGGUCUGAUUAGUGUGUUGCCUUAUUUGGGGGGGACGUUUAAGGUGUUUACUGGGGAGGUUUAUUUAGUUGUUGAUUUGAAUCAACGUACGUGUACUUGCAUGACAUGGCAAAUGUCUAGCUUGCCAUGUUCACACAUAUGUGCCGUCAUCCGCACACUGAGACACAACAUGUAUGAGUAUAUUGACCCAUGUUUUCAUGUUUCCACACAACAUUUGAUUUACUCGGGUCAGUUUCAACUAUUACCAACACACAAUAUGCCCUAAGUUUGUGACAUUCCUGCUCUCCAACACCCCCAUGUGAGACGUCCUCCAAGAAGACCCCAACAAAGACACAUUGAGUCAUAGUUUAGCCAUAAGAGAGCAAUUCAUUGCUUUUGAUGCAAUGGCAUAGGUCACAACCGGUCUAAAUGUAAUAAUCUGUAGCCAUGACAUGUGCAUUUUUUUGUGCUUGUGUGAUUCUCAUAUUUUGUAUCAUCCCAUACAUUCUAUUGUAGGGUAUAUGGUACGGGGUUGUUGAUUUUCGUUCUUAUGUAUUGGCCUCAUUAUAGGCACAAUGCACUAUUUUGUUAUUUUCAUGAUUUAGAGUUGCUUUGAUUAACCAAAUUAAUUGAAAGUGCAAUUUCAAUGUGGUUUCUGUUCACUUGUUAUUUCAUUCCACCAGUGCAAAUAAAUGAGGAUGACAGUUUGUUAUUAAUUUAUUCACAUAUUGGGGUUCACAAUUCUUGUUUUUUCCAAUCCAAGGAGACUUCCCCUUUCCUUUUCUAAAUUGCCUUAUUGUUAUUUAUUUCAUUUAUUUUAACCUUAUAAAUCUGAAUAUGAUAUACCAUUACCAAAUUUAUCCAACCAAUUAAUGGUACAAAUUGUCAAAUGACCUUCCCCUUUAUUAUUAGCUUCUCCAGGUGACCGAUAACUACUAUAGCACCCAUUUCAAGUUACCGGUUCUUCGAAGGUUCAAGCUUACAACAAUAAUUUCAUUCUUCAAUGGCCAUUGCGGAGGUAAUGCAUUCUUUCUUGUUUUUUAAUUUUCAUCACUUAUUUCGGGGACUUGAUAUUUUAACCUACUUAAGACAGUUACUUGUUUUGGGUGUUAAAGAUUCAUUAUUACUUAAAAAUCCACUAGUAAAUUAUUCAUCCACAUUAAUUUGUUUGUUAGUUCAUUCAAUUGUAUUGUUUUCUUUACCACGUUUAUGUAUUCAUAUUGAUUUUCUUAUUUCUUUGUUGAUUACUUAAAUUCAUGUGUAAGAUACUAAUGAUCUCCAACAAUUUUUUUGUAGGCCACCAGAUUGUUCACACGUUGUUCAUCUUUAAGAUUCCUAAAACUAUGCAACAAGCUCCUAGUUGAGAAAUUGGAUGUGGUUCGAGACCUUCAGUUUGAAGGUCUUCUCAACUUAAACUGCAAGGAGAUACGACAUAAUAUAUGUCUAUGACUAAACUGAGGUCGGCAACUCAUUCCUCUUUUCUCUCAUUUUCUCAUUCCUUCACUUCCCUAUUACACCCGUUUUCAUGUUUAUUAUUAUUAUUAUUAUUAUUAUUAUCAUCAUCAUCAUCAUCAUCAUCAUCAUCAUCAUUAUUUCUUGGUUUGAUUUUAAUAGUAAUUGUUGUUGAAAUUGGGCUUGUGCAUUUAUUUCUGUUUGUGGGCCUUAUGUUCAAGCUUUGUUAAUUAAUAUGACAUUUGGGUUAAUUUAUUGUUGGUGAAUUAAUUUGAAAUUUGUUAAUUUGGGUUUGUGGGAUUAAUUUAGUAUAUUUGGACUAUAUCAAUUGCAUAUUGUUUAUUUGGACUUGGGCUAUUGUUAAUUCGUUAUUUGUUUAGGUUUAUUGGAUUGGGCUUGAAAUAUUAUUUCGCUUAUUAAUUGGUUAUUUGUUUGAGCUUAUUAGAUUGGACUUGAGAUAUUAUUUCUUUUGGCCAUGUGUAGAUAUUAUUUCUUUUUGCCAUAUGUAUUAUUAAUGUGGGCUUAUUAAUUGGUUAUUUGUUUGGGCUUAUUAGAUUGAGCUUGAGAUAUUAUUUUCUUUGGCCAUGUGUAUUAUUAAUGUGGGCUUGUUAAUUGAUGUGAAUUUUGGGCCCACAAGUAGGUGAGAUUUGUUAGAUGAUUUGAAUAUUUGAUAUGAGCUUGGCCAAUUUGAACUAUUUCAUUUGAACAUGGGACAAUUGUGGUGUAUAUUAAAUUGGGCUUGGAUUAUGGAAUAUUAAAUUUAGGCCUAAUGAGGUUUAUCUUAAUUUAUCAUGUUUUGGGUUUGAUUAAUUGAGCUUAUAUUUUGACUAUUAAUUUUGAAACUUUAGAUUAGGGUCUAUGAUACCUGAGAUACUUUUGUUGGGUUAUAUUUAUUAAUUUGAGCACAUUUUUAAUUGGUGAAAAUUAUUGGAAAUUUGAAUUUGGGCUUGAAUAGUUAUUUUGGACUCUACAUGUUUUUGGAUAUUUAUAUUUGUGCUAUUUUUGUUUUUGCAUGGGCCACUCUGCAACCUUAUUAGCUGAGUACGAAUUGAUGACACAUGAAGCUUGUUGUAAGUUUAUUUGAGUACAUAUUUUAUUUCCCACUUUUACUUGGUUUUAUUUUUAUUAGUUCUUAUAAAUAUUUGUUCAUAUAUGUUUAUUUGUUGCGUACAAAAUUGAAUAUCGAACAAAUUACAAAUUUUGUUUAAAUAAGAGGAAUAAUUUAGUAAAUAUGUUUUAAUAAAAUAAUAAUUUUAAAAUAUUCUCCUUAAUAAAAGAAAGUAUUUUUUUAUUUAUUUAAAAAAAUUUAGAAAAAUCCAAAAGAAUUGUUUUUAAUUGAAUUUAAAAAAUUGUUUUUCAUAAAAUUGUCUAAAAAUUGUUUUGUAAAUAAAGUUGUCCCAAAAAUUAAUUUUUAAUAAAAUCGUCCAAAAAAUAUUUUUUUUUUCUUUUUCCUUAAUUAAAAUGGGAUUAAAAACAUUUUUUUAGAAAUAGAGGAUUUAAUUUUUUUUUCUUCUUUUUAAUUAAAAUUUCUUUUGCAAAUAAAAUUGUCUUUUUAAAUAAUUUGUAUAAAUCGCUCUUUUUAAAAAAAAAUGAAAAUGAAUCAAAAUACUUUUGUAAAUAAAAUUGUAAAAAGUCACUCAAUUUUUUUUUUUUUUUGUAAAAGCAAGUAAAAUAAUUUUUGUGGCCAAAUUGAAAUUUUGUAAUAAAUUCUUUUGAUACAAUAAAUGUAAAUAACUUUUUUAAAAAUUGAAUACAAAUGAAAUUAAAUAAAUAAAUUGCAACUUCUUUUUUGUAAAUAGAUAAAUUAGAAUCAUUAAUUCAAAAUUAUUUUUUUUAUAAAAUCCUUUGAAAUUUCUUGAAAACCAUUUUUUUUAAUACCCCUUUUUUAGUUCAAUAAAUCAUAUUUGCACAAUUCUCUUAUUAUUCAUUUCAUGUAUUCUUAUAAUUAGAUUUCAUCACUAUUUUUUCAUAUAUUGAUUUUCAUCAUGACUUGUACAUUGAUUAUUUUUCUUGGUAUCCAUAAUUAAUUAAUUAAUUCCCUUGAUUCGUUUAGUAGAUUUCAUAUGUAUACGGGCUUAGAGGGGUGUUAGGGCUCACCACCGUACCUUUCCAAUAAGAAACCUGACCCCCGAACCCGACUUUGGUUUUCCACAGACCCGUUUUUUCUUCAGGAGUCACACUUAGGGUUUUCCUUUCUUAUUUUGUUUUUCCUUUUAAAAAAAAAAUUAAAAUAAGUGGCGAUUCCAAGUCUUUUUCUAAAAAUCAAUUUUUCACUAAACAAAUAAAAAAGCAAGUCACAUCAUCGAGUGGGAACGCACGUGAAAAUGCGGGAUCCACACCUGUCCAAUUUAAUCUUUAAAUGAUUGAGAAACUAUUUGAAAUACCAAUAUCCAUAUGUAUUUAUUUUUCAUUAAUAUAGGUAAUCAUUUUCAUAUUAAAAGAAAAAAGAAAUCAUUUGCUAUCAACUCUUUCCAUGAUCAAAGCUAAAAAAACUUUAAUUCUAAAUCGUCAUCUCCAUUCCAAUCAUCUUCCUCGUCUUUAUUUUCUUUAUUACAAGACUCAAAACAACUACCUCCUAAUUCAAAAAGCUAUAAUUAGAAUCCUUUGAGUCUAUAUAUUAAUCUCUUCCAUGCCCGGAUGCCUUGAUCUGCAUUGAUGAGAUAUUACUCUUUUCUAUAGUUAAUUUCUUAAAUUCAUACCAACGCAUCAAAUAGUUUGAGACCAUUAAUUUGCUAUUAAGGCAUCGUGGUUGUAGAAAAAAAGAUACAUAUUGCCUAAAAAUUAAUUAAAUUUCCAUCAACUUAUAUCUCAAAUGGAGGGUUCUCCCUAUUAGUGAUUCAAUUGAACAAAUUCUUAUAAAACUUCUUAUGUUUAUUUAUUCCGGUAAAACAAAUUAAUAGGUUUUGUAGAUUUUUAAGCAUAUGGUUUAUUUUAUUAUUAGUCCAGCUCCCCAUAGGAAAAUAUCCGAUUGUGCAUUCAUUGAUCAAUGAGAUUGACAUACAAUUAAAUCCAUGCCCUUGUAAACGUCUUCACUAAAUAAGAAAGAGAGAACACAUUUCCUAGUUUGAAAAGUCAAAUUUCUUAAGAUAUUAUUAUUUGACCAUUGAAAUAAAGCAGAUAAGUUAAUUGGAGCCUACAAUGCACCUUUCCCUUUCAUAUCACUUUGCUGUCCAUCAUGUCUUCGAUAAAACGCCCUAAAGAAAAGUGUGAGGAUCCACCAUCUAUCUUGACUUUUCUACUUAUUUUUUUCAUUUCUUUCCUCUUCUUCCUCACUUCACUAUUAAUAUUCAUUAGGUUCCUUAAUCCAUUUUCAAUCUCAUGAGCACUUACAACAUAAUCACUAUCCUUAUUAUAAUCUAUUUUAAUUUCUAUUGCCAGCCCCAAAUCUUUCACCAUUUGAAAUGCGUUGAUUUGUUGUUCUGCAUACAUUGACCAAGUGGCUACAGGAACACCGUACCAUAUGCUUUCUAGCAAAGAAUUCCAUCCACAAUGAGAUACAAAUCCUCCAACAGCUGAGUGGGCUAAAACUGCUAUCUGUGGAGCCCAUCCAAUCACCUUUCCAAUUCUAGCCGUCCGAUGUAAAAAUCCUUCUGGUAGAACUUCCUCAAUAUUUUCAUAGCCGCUUGAAAAUUCCAUUUUACCCUUUUGGGGAGAUUGGCGAAGGGACCACAAGAAGCGAUGCCCGCUGUGCUCUAACCCAUAUGCUAUCUCCUUGAUUUGAUCCGCACCAAAGCUUCCCAUGCUCCCGAAGCACAGGAAAAUCACAGACGAUGGAGGCUGAUCGUCAAGCCAACUCAUGAUGGUACUGGCAUCUUGUUGACCCCCACCAGAUCCCAUUCGGGUGUUGAGUAUGGGUCCAACGGGAUACACCUCGGGUACUGUACUGCCAGAAAGUGAUUGAAUAGCAUGUGAUUCAAGCUCAAUAAACGUAUUUACCAGAAUACCCUUGACUUCUCUGAAUCUCCUCGUGUGAUACAGAAGCAUCUCAGCCCCUCCGCUUACCUUGUCAAACAUCCAAGCAGGGAAGACCUUACCCGGAACUGAGUUAACCAAAGUCGGAACAUCCAACUCGGCAUCCGAGUCCUUGAACUCAUUAAUAUCCAAGCCCUCAUAAUCAUGGAGGAACUGAACAUGUAACAGGAAGCCAAGAACAGCAGCGCCGGAAGAGAAGAAGAGAUAGGAAGGCACCCCAAACUCAUCGGCCACGUCAAUCAUGUGGGUGCAGAACAUAUCAAUAACGAACCCAGAGAGCCGAACCGAGUUGGAGCGAGUGAGCUCGUGGACGGCGUCUCGGACGAGUGGUAUGUGAACUUUGAGGAAUUCAGAGUAGAAAUGACCAGACGGGGUCGUUUCGGAGCUGACCUCUACAGGAGGAAGUGUGACGAAACGUAUGGAAUCAGAGUCCGUGUCCAUACCAUCAGUGGACCCAAACGGAAACUUCAUGAUGAAAAUCGUGAUUGAGAAUCGGGGGUCUCGCUUAGUAAUCAGCUUUGCAAUCUCCAGUGCAGACGCAAGGUGGCCGAUGAUAGGAAAUGGGAUGAAGACCAGCUCAGUUUGCUCCAUCACUAACUAGCAGUUACUGCAAAGAGAGAGAAAAAAGGGAUGUUUCGAGGGCUUUGCGGUGGUGUCACACUCUUAUACUAGUGGCUGGAUAGUAUUG